This 56276-nucleotide long non-coding RNA is filed under the name Zea mays. RNAcentral's name for it is "long non-coding RNA (ZMAY_LNC004151)". The record is from RNAcentral. Lineage: Eukaryota; Viridiplantae; Streptophyta; Magnoliopsida; Poales; Poaceae.
UCAUGUCACAGAUGAUGUCGGUGUUUCUACUCCAACUAAAGAAGGAAUUAUGCAAGGAAACGGAGCACGAUGCGUUGUAGGGUUUCCUCCAUGCAAAGAUAACAAGUGCUACUACUGCAUUGGGGGACGAACUCAUGCUCGCUACUCUACGAUGGCUGAGUGUAGUCAUGCCUGCUUCUAAACAAAAAUUAAGAUCGCUGUUAUUAUAUACAUUGUAAUGGUAGGUAAUGCUAUUAAUAAUAUAUGGGAAUUUUAGUUUUGGUAUUAUACGUUUUCCAAUUCACAAAAUUUAGUCAAAAUCUAACCAAUUUUUUAGAGGACUUAAAUAUAAAGUAUGUUUCCCUUUAAAUUUUAAUGAAAAAAAUAUUAGAAUGCUUUGGGAUGCCUCCAUCAGCUCGCGGAUGCUGUUGUGGAUAGACAACGGUAUCGGUAUAAAUCACACUGCACAGAAUGAGGACGUUUCUAGGAGAACGUGCAUUCGGUCACGUUAGCGGAAAAAUCCUGAGUAGCAGUAGUUGCCUCCCAUAUCGGUGUCAACACCACGAAUGUUUCGUGCGACACAGAAGGUUUGCGGCUUGCUGUGGCAUUAAUCCGGCUGCGGCUUGUACAGUAUUUUGUCUCUAUGGAUUGCAGCUGCAGCCGUCCGAACAGCUGCAGGUCCUGUGGUUACAGGGCAGCCGAACAAGUCGUUGGUGCGAGGUCGGAGCAGUGGCAACCUGAUGCUCAAGGUGGUUCCAGAUGUCCACUCAGACAGAUGCUAGAGGCUUUUGGAUGCGACAUGCCUCAUCAGGGGAAGUGGAUCCUAAAGCCGAUGUUGCCCGCUAGGAGCAGGGUGCUCCAAGCCAAGAAACAUCCUAGAAAGGGAAGGAGGUGGCGCCGAACGAGGGUGGAUCAAGCGACGAUCGCAAUAGGUCACCCGAUUGGGGAGACUCCUCGCAAAUAGUAACGAUAAGGUCAUUAGGACCUUUUGGGGGCACAUGGCACGAUCAUGAGAGUUAGACUUCCUUGUUAGACUUUCUUUUUUUGUCACAUCCUUACAUCUAUUUUCUUAGCCCUAUGACGUCAGCCCCUUGUAGCACCCCGAAAAUCCAAACCUAGAAAAUUUCUCAAACUCGCUCUAAAUUAAAAAUGAAUUUUAAAUUUUGUUUCAAAAUGUUUUCUUGCGAGUUGAUCUCAACAAAGAAAAUAUAGUGGUCUUCCUUAUCUCCGAAAUUCUUUUCAAAAUAUCCUACAAAUAUUUCCCUAGUGAUCCCCUCAAAUUCUUUUCAGAAAUACUGGCUAAAUGUUCCACCGAUAUUUCUCCAAAUAUUUUUCUCCUAAGAAAUACCCUCGGAAUCACUUUUAAAAUCCCUACAAAUAUUUUCUUAAUAAUUUUCCUUAUGCUCAUACGUAUACAUACGCCUCCGGGGUCAUACAGUGAGCUCUACAAGCUAAUUUCACUUAUCCAUAGCUAAUACAUGUUUUAUCUCUCACUAAUCCUCGACUCCUCCCCUAAUCCCCCACCUUGCCCAUUAAUAGAGGGGCAAGGGGCCCACUCAUGCCAUCCCAAGCCAUUUCAUGGCUACUCAAUCCCACUCACUGACUUACUCCCACUCUAACACAAGCACAACACGCGCACAAGGAUCGUUCGGUUGUUCAUUCAAUUGUUCGUCCAAAUGUUCAUAGUUCGUUCGUUCGUUCCUCCGAUUGUUCGAUCAUCCAUCCGAUCGUUCAUGGUUCACUUGUUCAUCCGUCCAAUCAUUCGAUCGUUCGUCCGUUCGUUUGUCCAAAUAAUCUUUGUCCAGCCAUUAUACUGCCAAAAUUCUGAUCGCUCGUUCGUCCGAUCGUUCAUCUGUUCGUUCAUAAUCCAUGUUCAUAGUUCGUUCCUACGAACUAUUCAUCGUUCGUUCAUAAUACCUAUUCAUCGUUCGUCCAAACGAACUAUUCAUCGAUCAUCAGAUAAUUCAUAAUCACUAUUCAUCAUUCAUCGGAUCAUUCAUCAUACUAUCCAUCGUUACUAUUCAUUGUUCAUCCGAUCGCCCAAAUAUUCAACUGCUCAUCCAUCAUGAUGAUGAGCUCACAUAAAACCUGCCAGACUAAUAUCUCAGCCAUACGAACUCUGGUGACUGUGAUUUUCCUUCUAGUUAGAACUUCACGGUUGGUCACACAUCCCAGAAUUGCUCUAAGUUGAGAACGCUUAACUUCGAGGUACUUUCGAACCAGGCUUUCAAAAAGAAAGGCGAACCAUGUUUGUAUAGAUAUGUAGCACUCCGAAAAUUCAAAUCUAGAAAAUUUCUCAAACUCGCUCUAAAUUCAAAAUGAACUUUUAAAUUUUGUUUCAAAAUGUUUAUUUGCAAGUUGAACUCAACAAAGAAAAUAUAGUGGUCUAUAUUCUCUCCAAAAUUCUCCUCAAAAAGACCUACAAAUAUUUUCCAAGUGAUCCCUUCAAAUUCUUUCAGAAAUAUUGCCUAAAUAUUCCAAAUAUUUUUGUAGUUUGUUCAUUCGUUCGUCCAAAUAAUCUUUGUUCAGUCGUUAUGCUGCCGAAAUUUCGAUCGUUCGUUCGUCCGAUCAUUCGAUCGUUCAUUUGUUCAUAAUCCCUAUUCAUUGUUCGUUCAUACGAACUAUUUAUCGUUCAUCGUUCGUUCAUAAUCCAUAUUCAUCGUUCAUCUUUCGUUCAUAUGAACUAUUCACCGUUAAACGGAUCAUUUAUAAUCAUUAUUCAUCGUUCAUCCUACUAUUCAUUGUUACUCCGAUCGCCCAAAUAUUCAACUUCUCAUCCAUCAUGAUGAUCAACUCACCUAAGACCUACCAGACCAAUAUCUCAGUCAUACGGACUCCGAGGACUGUGAUUUUCUUUCUAGUAAGAACUUCCCCUUUGGUCACCCAUCCAAGAAUUGCUCCAAGUUGAGCACGCUUAACUUUGAGGUUCUUUCGAAACAAGCUUCCAAAAAGAAAGGCGAAACAUGUUUGUAUGGAUACACCAUCAAUCUUAUAAAACUUGGCCCAAGAUACCACAGCCCGUCCAGACGAGAGUAUCACAGUAUUCCAGUUGUCUGGGUGCUGCCUUACUCUUGUCCGACAACAGAGAAGGUAGGAACAAUUGCCACCAACAUAAGUAUCUGCUCAUGAACAGUCCAGAAAUAAUUCAUGGCACUUUGCUUCCAAAUAUCUCUAAAUAUUCUAAUUUUGGAAUAUUCUAGGAAUAUUCCUUUUCCCUUUUCCUUUUAUAUUCCUAUGAUUAUAAAAACCAAAACUCCUUUGUCCAGUCUCUCAUUUUGACAGUUCUGAUUUCUAAAUUCUUAUCAAAUUACCCUCUAUCCAUCCAUGUAAUUCCGUAAGCAUGGUUCAUAUUCUAGAAAACUCCAAAAAUAGUCUUGUCCCAUAUUUCACCUAUAAUUUUCUAUCCAAACCGAUUCUUUCACCACGAUUCUCAUAAACAGUAAACUCUACCAUACUAAACCAUACGCACCCAUCUAUAAAUACCUCCAGAGAGUUACCCUCUCCCUUCCACACCCUCAACAACCUGAGCUAAGGCAACCACCCCCCGCACUCAGUUACCUCGCUCUGCCACUACACUUCUAGUAUUGGUCCACCUCCAAUACACUCUUCGGGUAAGCAUCUCUACUCCAUCAACACAAACUACACUCAAAACUAUAUUCACCCAUCUACCACCAUUCCUGACCACUAUAAUGAAUAUUUGUUGAUAUACUUGCUGAUUUGUAUGCUUGCUUGUUCAUGCUAUGUAGUUAUCGGAGCGUUCAUGCUGUCUCGUGAAGGCCAGUUCUACAAGUCUACGCCAGACGGUGGAGCCAGAAGCCAAUUCCACGAGCUCUCACCCUUUCACUGGUUAAAGCAUGGCAAGCUCACUGGAUCCCUUUGAUGCAUAAAUUACAUAUGUUUUUCAAAGACAAUCAUCAGCAUGUUAUUUUAUGCAUUAUAUGAUUUUUCUGCUAAGAGACAUGUUAAUAUGGCAACCCAACCUUAGAACUUUGCCGCAAUUCAUCUUUAUACUCCUUAACGUUUUUGUUACAAAAAGGUUUGAAAAAAGGUGUGAGUUUUUCAAAAUAAAAUGUUUUUCAAAAUGUGUAUGAUGAAGGGUUAUCACCCUUAUCACCUUUGAGUGGGAUGAUCAGGGACUCCUCGGUGUUAGGUGGGCCUUAAGGUGAUGGCUCAGCCGGGUUAGGUGUGAGAAUGAAGAAUUACCCCUCUCGUAUAAGGACCGGUAUGCCAUUCUUCACUGUCUAUAGUCUUAUCAAGUACAACCACUCUAGACCAUAUGGGCAGUCGCUUGAUCCAAACUUGCACGGUCGGCACCCUAGGGUUAUGUUGGCUAGCGAGCACCGGGAGGACAAGGAGGGGGAAAGUUUUGUCCUGGUUUGGGCAUGGAGGUGGCCAUGUUACUUUUGGUAUAACUGUUAAGGUAAAGACAUGUAGGGGAGGAGAGAGUUUCGGUAAUCCGAUCUCACGACGGUGAGAUUGCAGAAACCGGACUAUUGGGUGAAGUGUACACCUCUUCACAGAGUUUCAAAACCUAUUCGAAUAGUCCGCGUCCACAGAUUUGAAUGAGUUAUGACUUGGUUUGACAAUUAGUAUGUUGUUUUCCAAAAAUGCUUUUGACAAUUGGUUUCAAAAGUUUUGAUGGUUGAGCUGUGAGCUAUGGUGGACGGGAAGUCCAAUAGCUGUUUUUGAAAUUGAAAAUGAAAACCGUUGGGAAAUUACCGAGAUUCCUGGAUGGUUUAGUCUAGGGGAUUUUGUUCUAUAUAAAAAAAUUCCUGCUCCUUUGGAAGAGGAAGCAUUUUGAAAAAAGAUAAAAUGUUUUACAAAAUAGCCCUAAACCCUAAACCCUACUGCAUAGAGAACCCCCUACAGCAAGCAUGUUUACUAAUGCAGGACACCAAGACUUGCAGGACACCAAGACUAAAGAAUAUGUAUAACUAUUCACAAAAUUUCUUUGUACAUAUAACAUAGAAGAAAUUUUGAUUGUCCUCAAUGAACACAAUCAUGAUGAAAUAAUAACAGAAGGACAUUAAAUAAAAACGGUGUUAAUAAACGUAUAUGAGGUAACAAAAACAUAUAUAUCGUGAAAUGAUUUUUUGAGGUCAAAGUGCAAGGUGGCAAUAAAAUGAGAGAAUUCCCUAUUUAACGCUACUAUAUGAGUGCUUCCUUCUAUGGCCAUGAAAAUUACAUACUCAUUGGAUGCAAGAUCUAACUUUUAUUCUUAAUAACACUAAUGUUAACUAUUCCAUCAAGACAAUGAUGAGUGCCAUGUGGAAAGAUGGGGCUGCACUUAUGGUUUGCAAUUCUGCAAGUAACAGCUAGAGCAUCAGCUGGUGGAGCAUUUGUGUUUCAAGCAUUUGUGUUAAAAACCAUCCGAUAUCAAAAUUAGCAUUUGCGUUUUAAUUCCAUCCUUUGAUGUGUUUUUAUUUGCUAUCACCAUUACCUUGUUAUCCAUCGAUCUUGCCUUGAUACUUAUCUUUGUGCCUACUCUUUAAAAAUCUCCUCUCUUCCACCUCAAUUUGAGAGCGGCAAUUUACCUAUCUCGCCCUUGGACGUACCCUCUCCUUUUCCAUUUGAAGGUCCGGUCUUAACUCCAUUAUUUAUGGUACUUAUACCCUUCGUCUUAUGCCUAUUUAUCUCCUCUCAUACAUCCUUGUUUGUUAUUAGCUUAAAAACCCUCGUGAUAUCUUUGCCCAUGCCUUCCUGCUUACCUUGAACCUACCCUUUGAAGCCCCCUCUUUUCUAUCACUGUUCAAGGAUAAUGCCUCAUCUAUUUCAUCAUUCACUACUCCCCUUCUUUGACACCUUGCAAGUUUUAUCUAAAAUACAUUCAUUGGUUGUGUGUUUUUUUGUGAUCACCUUAACCCUUGUCAUCCAUCGAUCUUUUACCUUGAUGCUUAUCAUGUACCUGUAUUUUAAAGCUUCCUCUCCCAUUUGAGUUCAGGAGUGUUGUCUUACACCUCCUGCUCUUAUUCGUUCCCUAUUCCUCUGUCGUGUUGCAAGUCUUGUCUUAAGUCGAUCUUUUGGUGUGCUUUUUCCUGUUACCUCUUAUACCUUUGUAAUCACUAGAUCUUUCCAUGAUGCUUAUCUUAUGCCUACCUUUUGAAUCAUCAUCUUUCCCAUCUCGAUUUGAGAAUGGUGUUUUAUCUACCCUCACCUUGGUUGUAUUCUCUCUCUGUCGGUUACAAUCCUUGCUUUAGCCUCAUCCUUUAUUAUGCUCAUGCCCCUAUCCUGCAUGUCUUAUUAUUCCUCUUGCAUUUCGAUGGCCUUAGAGUAGUUUCCCCUUUGUAAGGAAAGACCACCAUCUAGUUAACAUUAACGUGUAGCAACGAGAUGUUUGUUGUUGUAUGCUUGUGCUGUUUGUCUUUGUGUUAUGACUGAUUUGCUUCUUUGUGAUGAGUGUUGGUGUGUUGUGGCCCCUAGGCCCGCAAUGACAUCCGUUUACUAGCUGAGUGCCAUAGAGUUAGGUAGCUGGGUGCUCUCCCUUUUCUCUUUAAUCCAUCUAUGCUUACCUUUGCUAUCUAUACCCUUCCCUCUUGCACCUGUCCAGUUGGCAUCCUGCAACCUCUCUUAAUCAGUCAAUAUCAGAGUCGGCAGCAUCUUCACCAAGUGUGUAUCAAUGCUCCUAGUAAGGGGGUUAGCUGCUAACCCCAAUGAAGACAAUGCGAUCAACAUCAGCCAACAAGAUCAAAGAGGUGUAGUGAAAGCGUGUGUGGGUCCUAACCCACAGGUCCAUGAGAUCCUUAAGAAUUAUAUCAAUUGGUUGCGAGCAUCUGAAGGUCAAAGCAACCAGUGCACAAGUUAAGCUUUCAGAGUCAAAUUCAACUCAAGAAAGUCGUGAACAACCUAUGAACCAACCUUGUUUUCUUGCUAGCGUCUUCUUGAUUCUCGGGGGGGGGGGAGAUUCCUGUUAAGUGGGUUAGAUUUGUAACACCAUGAAUUUGGGGGUAUAAAAUUUCUUUUCUAAUAUUCACCAAAUUCAGGUGUUACCCUCUCUUUUCCUUGCUUUUCUUUUUCUAAAUAGUGAAGAGUUAUUUUGUUUUAUAACUAUGCAAAAUCCUAGUAAAAUAAAAUCUUAGAGGAACUUUGAUUGUUGCAUUCAUGCUGAUACAUAGUGUUUAUGAGUGCAAAAUGUUAUCAUUACAGAUUAAAAUAUAUCGAGGAUGUUCCCAAGAGUUUUUGGAAUCUUCGGAAGGUUUCUUCGGGUAUGAAAUAUGAAUUUCAGUUUUUCUAAUAUUAAUUAAAUACCUAAAAUGUGGUAGUUGUGAAAACUAUAAAUUUUUUGGAACUCGAUAAUAUAUAUAUAUUUCUUCCUCUCGUCGAACCUAUUCUAGAUCUCGUGCCCCUUUUCGCGAGAUUACUGAACCGCGUCUUCUCGCGAACGGCAUGCUGCUUGCGUCGGCGAUCCUCCUCUAUCCUCGUCUUUCCCUUCGGCAUCCACCUCGUCAUCUUGGGCCCACGGGCCGGCUCUGACUGUCUUCGUCUAAUUUUAUCUAACCCUGUCUACCACCCAUCUAACUCUGUCUAACCCUGUCUCGUGCAACUCGCCGCGCAGCUGUCUCUCUCGCUCGGCCAGGACAAGAGCCGCUGUGAAAUUGACAACCACCUCUCGCGCCCUCUCCUUUCUAUACAUACCCUCUCCUUUAUAUACAAUCGUACACCCCUACCAUGAACCUCUUCCCUCUUCCUUCUCACACAUGAGCAGCCCACGCGUUUUCCUCUCUAUGCAUUGUGCCUUCGUGGUCUAAGGGGCCGCCUCGUCGUCUUCCUCACGUCGUCGGAGGAGCAGCCCCAUCGUCUUCCUCGCGUCGUCUUCCUCUUCAUUGCGUGCCUGCUCGGCUGUUCUUCAUGUGUAGGUGACAAAUCCUCUCCUUCUCCCUCUUCUUCGCCUCCUUCUUCCUCAUCACUACACAAACAUCAUGGCGGUCAAGGAGCUCGCACCAAACUCCCUACUCACCUAGCGACGCAGCUGGCCUAGCCCCUCACCGGUGCGGCCUGGCGUGCCCACGCAGCUAGCCCGCCUCGCCCCUAGCCGAGCUCGUGCAGCCACCCUGCGUGAUCCCUGGCCAGGCCGAUGUCUAGCCGAGCCUUCCCUGCCACGACACACCCUUGUAUGGUGCUGCUGCGCACCGCUCAGCCCCGACUCUGGCGAGCAGACACCACCGCCGUCAGCCCCACCCGCCAUAGUGCAUGCCACGUCGGCAUCACGCCCGCUCCGGCGGGCCAAUCCGUUUUCCUACUAUGGCCGUUCGUGCAGUAUGGAAUAGGAAAAAAAAGGAAACCACCCCGUGUGGCCCCACCUGCAUGCUCAUUCGUUGCCUAGCGCCGCGACGCGAUCUUCUCACUGCACACACGAUCGCAGCACGGAAAGGAGAACCGUCGUAGGCCCCUGCAUGUUCCUUCCUAUACGAUAUCCUCAUUGCACGUAAUGUGUGUGGGAAAGAAAACUGACAGCCACAUAUUAAUGCCUGGUUGGCCAUGUGCAACGUCGUUCCGUGUAUGGCCACACUAGAUCCGGUCGGUUUUUCUGUGUCUUCAAACCCGUGGCCAUCCGUGUGGUAAGUUUUAACCAAUGAAAAUACGAAGCAUCACAUUAAAUGCGCAAAAUAUUAAUUUUUUCAAUAUAUUUUACGUCACAAACAUGAUUUGACUAGUUUCAGUCGCGUUAACUUUGUAACCUCGUCAUGUAUGAGUCAGUAGCAUUGUUUUGUCGUAAACAUGUUUUAACUAAUUAAUUAAUUAUUUGUUAGUCUGAUUAAAACUAAUUUGUAAUUAAAUAUUAGCAUGAUUAAUGUCAACGUAAAUGUUUUCGAACUAAUACUUGUUUAGUAUAAUCUCGUUAUCUGUUAGCGAGUAUCAAGCGUCGUCACACUAUCUGCGCACAUCGUCACGCUGCUCACGCGUGAUGUGCUCGUUGACGUGCAGAUUCGCGCGUCGUUCACGCUGGUCGCGCACACUGUUUCGUGCGUCGUCCGCGUGCUAUGUCGCACGUGGCCGCACGUCGUUCACACGCUAUCGUGUUGUUUCGCGCGUCAUGAUUUCGCCUCGCUUAGAAUCUCUCUUUUUAAUUAAAUUACUUAUUUAAUGAUAGUUGUUCGUGUAGCAGAUUAAUCGAACUAAAUAGUAGAUAUAAUUUAUAUUUGAUAAAGUCGAAUUAAAUGUUAUAGUUAAUACCUGUUUGGCAUAAAUGCGAUAACUUCUUGACCAUAGCUCCGAUUUCCGCAUUUCUUUUCCUCGCGCCACCAUAGAAGCGAGCUUUAUUUUUUUUAUUGCAUGCUUUAUAUUAUUUUAUCUUGUAUGAUGUAAUGUUCUUAUGCAAGUAUAUGUUUGCUUGUGCUUGUUUGUCUUCGUUGUGCGUCGCUAAUAGAUUGCGAUCUGUUCCUGAGCUUCGAGGAAUCGACAAUCAAGAUUUGAUGAACCUCUGGUCCUGAGAUAAAGUUCUUUGAGUCCUACGAAGUCGAAGACCCUGAGCAUCGGUUUGGUGAAGGCAAGUGUCCUCUGACCUAUUGUGUCUCAUUUACUUUAUAAUUCAUCAACCCGCAUACCAUGAUCAACCUAAGGAUUGACUAGUAUUCUGUUUUCAUGUCCUUGUUUACCCUUUGGGUAUUGAUUAUUAUGAUUAGCUCUAUGCUAGCGCUUUACUUUUAAUCAAUGAACAUGAUGAGAUACAAUGAUGAUACUAUGAUUUUUUUCUGGAUAUGAUGAUAUACUUGUGGCAUUUUAGGGGACUCGAGCGGUUUCUCGAGCGCCUCUCCAUAAGGACUUGUUUGUUGGAUGACCACCCGGGAAAAUAGUGCAACCAUGAGGGUGGUAUGGGACGCCCUUAGCUAAUUAAUUAGAGGAACUGAGGUGUAGUUCACUUCGCCGUCGUGCCGUCAAUGGGCUAGGUGUAUGCGGCUCGCUCUGCCGAGGGUGGAUUGCCCCUUGGGGAGGAGUGCAGUACAUUUAGGAAACCUAACGGGCAGCUACACACUCAGGGAAUCUUUGUAAGGGUUUCGUAGUGAAUCCUUGGCCAUUCACCUCGAGAGUGAAUAAGGGUCUUGCAAGCCCGGGCUAGAGAGGGAAUCAUGGCUCGUGGGUAAAGUGCGCAACCUCUGCAGAGUGUUAUGAAACUAAUAUAUCAGGCGUGCUCGCGGUUAUGAGCGGCCUUGGGAGCUCCAUUGAUUAGAGACACAUUGAAUCAGGACUACUUUGUUUACAGAUGAUGAUGAGGAUAAUGCUGGUUUCUAUUGUGAUUAUGAUUAUGAUUAUGGUUUCUGGUAUUCCUUCCGUUUGGAAAGAGUACUUUUGGGUUAACAACUUGGGUUAAUGUUAAAACCUGGCUAUCUACUAGUAAUAGUUACCUGAUCAACUAAAAGCAACUGCUUGACCUUAACCCCACAUAAAGCUAGUCCACUACAGCCAAACGGGACAUUUGUUGAGUAUGUUGAUGUGUACUCACCCUUGCUUUCACAAAACACCAGGUUGCCUUUGGUGCAAUCUAUGCUCAGGUAAAGAAGGUGUCGAGGUGGAUCUCCAGGAGUUCCAGGACUUCGACGAGUUUGCGGAUUAGGCUAGCGACCUCCCCAAGUCAGCUGCCUAUUGUUGGAGACUUGUUCUCAAGUGCUAUGAAUUAAGAACAAGGCAACAUAAAGUGUUAAAUGUUAACGUCCUUCGUCCAUGAAACAUUAUUCCCUUGAGGAUAAUGGGCCUUGAACGAAGGUUGAUGAAAGAAUAAUUAUGAAGCUCAAGUCUUCGUAAUAAAAUUUCAAUAGGUAUUGUAAGAUGACAUAAAAUAAAAGGUAUAAAAGGGGGAAAUAAAUCAUAGACGAAUUAUAUUAUAUUUACUUAAUAUAUUGAAUCAUCAAAUACGAUAAUACCUCUGCCUUGGCAAAGGUUGAAUUCCAGAAUAUGCUAUUGCAAUUACCAGAAUCCGUGAACAGUAAAGGAAUAUUGUUCACUAUUUAUAGGCACAGGACGCAGCCUGUGAUGAAUUACAAGUAUGCCCCUUAUAAAAGCUUACAACAAUGACUCAGACCUUUAGGGACUAAAAGGUCAUUCUACCUUUAGGUCGGUUUGUAAUACCGAAGCUUCUCGAAGAGGAACCUUCGGCCAUCUUAUACAAACAGCUUCAGCCGAAGACCGCUUCUUCCUGUAAGACCUUCGGCGACGAAGCAUAGGCCCAACAGUAGCCCCUUUCGCGGUGCUAGAUCGUUUUUCGUAACGAGCUUGAUCCGUGAAAAAAGUCUCUUAGGCUUCGGAGAGCCGAAGGUCCAAAAAACACCUUCCCUGAGCUCGUUGUCGAGAAACGAUUCAAUUUCCCAGCGCGUAGCGGUCCCACUUUGCAGAGUUACUGUUUGGUCUCUGCGGUCCACCGCACAGCGAGUGUAAGCGGGUGUCCGCCUGGUGUAAAAAUCCUGGUGCUUCGCCUUCUUACCUGCAGUACUAUAUAAACAGACGAGUAGGUGUGAAGUUACCACAGCAUUCAUUGCUAUUUGCACUGUUCUGCUGCCAAAAUUUUUAACCAUCGCCAAAGCUUGUCUGUCGGAAUCAAACGAAGCUCCAGUUUGAAGCCUGCUUCGUCAGAAAAAACUUCGGAAGAAGAAAGUAUUAAAUUUCCACACGCUCGUAAUUAAAUGGCCAGAGUGCGUUCUACCGCCAGGGUUGAGCGUGAGGGGGGCGAAACUGAAGCUUCGGAGACUGUUCCCAUCUCCGAAGCCAUGCAACGAUCUGGGCUGGUGACUUCGGAAAAGAUCCCUAGUGAUGAUGCAGAACAAGCAGAACAAGCAAUUGCUGAAGCAGAAGAAGAAGAUAUUGAGGAAACUGAUCCCGAAGAUGAUUAUCGCAUUGCCAUGCCAAGCAAGCCCAGCCACUUGGACUUCGGGAAAUCUACUGUUUCGAAGGCUGAUCUGUCCAAGAUGGUAAAGUCAGGCUUUUUUACUGAAAAUCAGAAAAAGCUAUUACGCUUCGGGGGAGAAGAGACUACCCCAAAGCCGGAGAAGGAUGAAAUUGUUAUUUUCAAAAGCUUUCUAAAGGCUGGAUUAAGAUUCCCCCUACAUGGGAUUAUUGCAGAGGUACUGAAGAGGUUCGGUAUCUAUUUUCACCAGCUAACCCCUAACGCUAUCGUUAGGCUUAGCGUUUAUAUCUGGGCACUCCGAAGCCAAGCAGUGGAACCAUUUGCGGACAGCUUUUGCCGGGUUCACGAGCUGCAUUAUCAGACGAAGGCUAGAAAGGAUGGAUUGCAUGACAAUUUUGGUUGCUAUAACUUCGCCUAUCGGAAAACCACAAAGUUUCCGGUAAUCAGCUAUCGAAGCAAAUGGGCAGCAGGCUGGAAGUCGGAGUGGUUCUAUGUCAAGGUUGAUGACGACAAGGAGAAGCUUGUGCAAAGUCCACUCGAACUAAUCUUCGGAGAAACCCGACCUCGCUGUAACAUGACACCCGUAGGUCCAACACAACAAGCAAUGAACGAAUUCAGAAUUAUUGCAGAGCAUAUCAGUACAAGGGACCUGGUUCAGGAGUUUUUGGCUUUCAAAGUUUUUCCCAGUUUGAAAGAAUGGGAAAUGCCGAAGCUAAAGGGGGAGAAGAAAGAAGGUGAACUUGUACGUUUACCUUACUAUUUCAAGUUUAAGAAAUACUUUAAAGCGCCUUGCCAAGAGUGGCUAGACACAAUUGAAGUAAUGUGUAAUGAAAUACUUGGCAAUUAUUCCAAAAAAGAAGAUCAAUUAAUGACUGCGGCCUUCGGCACCCGUCCGAAGCGAAGACUGAACCGAGUGUUGGAUGCCUUGGGUUUUGAAUACCCUGACUAUGAAAAUCUGAACAAAGGUGCCGGAGGCCAGAAAAGGAAAAGGGUAACCGAAGCCUCAAAUGAAGAUGAAAAAGAGACACCAAAGAAGAAAAUUCCAAAGAAGAGGAAAGCGUCUUCUCCGAAACGGAAAAUAUCUGACGAAGAAAAAUCCCCCGCAUCACCCUCUGCCGCUGACGUUGAGGAAAUUCUGAAGGUAAUGACUGAAUCCUUACCUGCGAAGCUAAGUCCACUGGGGCCCCAACUGACAAAGUUUUUUCAGAAGGACAAGGAGCCCGAAAAAUUGAAGAAAAUAAUCAAAGCAAAGAGACAAAGAAUUAUCACUGUGACAGAAGUAAUUGACAAGACACCGCCAAGAGCUUCAGCUCAGAAAACACCAGCGGCUGCGGAAGGGACAGAUAUUGAAAUUACACCUUCGGAGGUCGCAGCUGCCGAAGCUGCCUCAGCUGAAGAUUUGAACCUGGAGAGAACAAUCGAAAACAUUGACAGAAUACUGCAAGAUAUGGCUGCGGAAGAAGCUACCACCGCCGCCGAAGAGGCCGCGACCGCAGCGUCGGAGAAAGGGAAAGAAAUUGCUGAUGAAGCUUCAGAAAACGAAGCCUUCAUGUUCCAGAAUUUAGUUGGGGAAAAACUAUCAAAAGCUGAAAUAGAAGAGCUUAGAGAGUAUGCCAAAUCCUGCGGAUACAAACCUGGAGCACUCCUCUUCGGAGGCGUUGAUGAUGAAAAAUUAGAUUGUAUUCGAGAUCAAACCGGAGCCAAAGUUAUCGGUACUCUGUCAAAGAGUAUCGGUUUUCCGAAGCUGGAGACAGACAUCAGCCGUUACCGACGACAACAUAUCGUUGGUAGUUUAUUUUAUUCCAAUUUCAAGGUGAACUACUUUUCCCUUAACUUUUAUUGUUUCUAAUAAUGAAAACACGUCUAACGAAGGUUGAUUUCGUGCAGAGUAUGCUGUUGAGCAAAGCCUUGAAAAUGCAGCAAGAUUUUGAAGACAAGAAGCACGAAGUUAUAAUUGAAAAUUUGGAAAGCAGAAUAAAGGAGCAAUCAGAUGCUAUCGAGAAAAAGAACUUCGAGCUCCAGGCGACCGAAGGUUCAUUGGCGGAAGCCGAAGCAAAAAUAACAGAACUGAACUCGAAGCUUCUUCGCCAAUCUGAGCAGUUCGAACGAGAGAAGCAAGACCUUAAUGCAAAACUUGAAGCCGAAGCUCAACAAAAUUCAGAUUUGAGAAAAUUAUUGACGAGCCUUCAAGAAAAAUGUUUGGAAUUUAGCAACAAAUGCAUUCAACGAUUAAGAAAGAUUUUCCACUCAGUUGGAGCCAGCAGUGAAAAAUUCACCCCCUCAGCUGAAGAUCUACCGAAGACCUUCGAACAUAUUGAGGGUGAGAUUGACGAGCUCGACGAAGUCAUAGCUGGGCACGGUGACUUCUGUGCCUGGGUGGCUUCUCGGGGCACUGCUGCAGCUUUCCUAAAAGCUGGCUGCGAUCAUGGAAAGAUUGUCAAUAGGCCAAAUUUCACUUUAUCACCAUCGAUCCUAGAUGAUAUUCCUGAUCUCGCCCGAAGUAUCUCUAACAGAUUUGUAAAAAUGAUAUGGACAAAAGGUGGGCGAGAAAAGGCUGGAGACGAAGCUCGAAGUCAUCUUGAACCAGUAAGAGAUUGUACCUUGCGCUUACCUCUCCCUUCAAGCUUGGUUUUGACUUACAACAACCUUAUUCAUGUAGGAUGACGAAGCCGAAGCUGAUGAUUAGAAAAUGACGCCGAAGCUGAAGCUCCUUGGAGAUUAAAUAGUAGACUGUAGACAGUACUUGAGAAACUUUUGAGAUAACUUUUGUAAAUGUAACUGAAACUUGUCAUUCUGUUCAUACCUUGUAAUAUAUCCUUAUCCUUCCAUUGAUGUAUGAGAAGUGCUUUGAUGUGGACGAAAUUUUCUUUUUUGAGCUGAAGGCGAAAAAACACCUUCCCUUCUUUUCGUACGCAGCGAAGCAUAGAAAACAACAUUUCCCUCUUUUCCGAAGCUCUCCUUUUUGUACACGAAGCUCUUUCUUCCCCCCUUUUUUUUCUUUUUGCCGAAGCAACCGCUUAUGCCAUGAUGAUGAUUAUCCUACAUAUGCCUGGAUGAAUGUUUAUGAAUGCAAAUGCUAUGAUGUAAUGUGAUGUGCAAAUGAAUGGCCAAACACGUACCCGAAGCCAUACUCAUAGCCAUUGUUUCCUUAAAAACAAACACACCUCAGCUCUGCAUUCCCUUAGGAACGACUUUGGAGCUUCUUCGCCUUUACUUUUGGCGGAAUCAGCGUUGACUUUUCGCUGUAAGCUCUGCAUUCCCUUAGGAACGACUUUGGAGCUUCUUCGCCUUUACUUUUGGCGGUAUCAGCGUUGACUUUUCGCUGUAAGCUCUGCAUUCCCUUAGGAACGACUUUGGAGCUUCUUCGCCUUUACUUUUGGCGGUAUCAGCGUUGACUUUUCGCUGUAAGCUCUGCAUUCCCUUAGGAACGACUUUGGAGCUUCUUCACCUUUACUUUUCGGCACUCGACGGUGCGUUCUCAGCUUUUACAUUUACAUUCCUUGGGGGAUUUUGCUCUUAUAGAACUAAAAAAGGAAAUUACAUGUGAUGGCCCCAUUAAAAACCUUUCUCCCCCUUCAGAAAGGAAAAGGGUGCCAUGAAAGAAAAAUAAAAAAUGUGAAAAAUUACAUCGAGUUACACAUAGUAUCGCCGAAGCUCAUCCGCAUUCCAAGAUCUAGGAAUGUCGUUGCCGUCCAUAUCCUUCAAUCUGUAUGAACCGGGUCUUGACGAAGAUGCUACUAAGAAAGGUCCGUCCCAUUUCAGCUGCAACUUGCCCACUGUAUCUGGAUUGGCCACUCUCCGAAGCACCAAAUGUCCUGGCUCAAUAUUCUUUAGCCGAACUUUUCUAUCUCGCCACUUGAUUGUUUCGGCUUGAUAUUUAUUGAUGUUCUCCACGGCUUGCAGCCUGAUCCCUUCUAAAGCAUCUUUUUCCACAGAAUAAGCAGCUUCGAAACCUGAUUCUGCCGAAGCUACUACUCUUAUUGAUCCGGUUUUAGCUUCCUCCGGAGUUAUUGCUUCGUCAUCGAAUAAUAACUUGAAUGGAGUAAAGCCUGUAGACCUUGAUGUUGUCGUAUUGUGGCUCCACACCACUUUGGUUAACUGAUCUGGCCACUUUCCCCUGGGUUGAUUGAAGAUUAACUUCAUUAUUCCUGUCAUUAUGAUGCCAUUGGCUCUUUCAACGAGUCCAUUUGACUCCGGAUGUCUGACUGAUGCAAAAUGGAUCUUCGUACCAAUUUGAUCACAGAAAUCCCUGAAAGCUUCGGAGUCAAACUGUGUUCCGUUAUCCACAGUAAUAGCCUUUGGUACCCCGAAACGACAAACAAUAUUCUGCCAGAAAAACUUUUGGACGGUGGCCGAAGUUAUUGUGGCUAAAGGCUUUGCCUCGAUCCAUUUAGAAAAAUAUUCCACCGCCACUACAACAUAUCUUAGGUUCCCUUGGGCCGGUGGUAACGGACCUAACAAGUCAAGGCCCCACCUUUGCAAUGGCCAAAUGGGUUGUAUGAGCUGUGUUAAGGACGAAGGUUGUUUUUGAUCUCUUGCACAUUUCUGACAACCUUCGCACUUUUGGACUAAUUCCGCUGCAUCCGAAGCUGCCUUCGGCCAAUAAAAUCCUUGGCGGAAAUUUUUUCCAAGUAACGGCCUAGAUCCAAUGUGAGAUCCACACAGGCCUGCAUGUAUUUCUUUCAUCAACUCUAUACCUUCGGUUCUGGAUAAACACUUGAGUAGCGGAGCACAAACUCCAUGCUUGUACAACUCCCCUUCUAUGAUGACAUAUGGACGAGCUCUUGCCUCUAUCCUCCUGUUAUAAGCUUCGUCAUCUGAAAGGAAUUUUCCCUGAAGGUAAGAGAUGAUCUCAGUUCUCCAAUCUUCGCUAUAAACAGGAGAUAUAUUGAGGACUGCUCUUUCAAGAAGUUCCACCAAAGGUGCUUUUAUUGUUUCGAAGAACACAUCCGAAGGUAAAGGCAGCCCCUGUGCUGCUGACUUAGCUAGCAAAUCAGCAUGCUCAUUUUGUCCUCGAGGGAUAUUUUUGACAGAAAAUCCUUCGAAUGAAGCUUCAACUCUUCGAACCAUAUCCAGAUAUUUUUCAAGCUUCGGAUCUUUAGCCUUGCAACUCUUGUCAAUAUGACCCGAAACAACCUGGGAAUCAGUUUUAAGUAUGGCCCUUCUGAUUCCCAUUGCUUUUAGCUUCCGAAGACCCAGAAGCAAGGCUUCGUACUCAGCAAUGUUAUUUGUGGAACUAAAAUCAAGUUUUGCCGCAUAGCAAGUUUUAACUUUGGAAGGUGAAACCAGCACAGCAGCAGCUCCCGCUCCGAAGGUUCCCCAAGAUCCAUCACAAAACACUGUCCAUGCUUCGGCGUCUUUAUUUGUUUCUUCCUCCUGAGCCCCUGGCGUCCAGUCAGCAAUGAAGUCUGCUAACGCCUGGGACUGUAUCGAAGAUCUAUGAACAUAUUCAAUACAAAAUUCAUUGAGAUCUGUGGCCCAUUUUCCAAUCCUUCCAGUAGCUUCUCGGUUCCUCAUAAUAUCCUUCAGAGGUUGUGAAGAAGGAACAAUUAUGUUGUAAGCUUGAAAAUAAUGCCGAAGCUUCCUGGAUGCCAUCAAAAUAGCAUAUAACACUUUCUCUAAUUCUGUGUAGUUUUUCUUUGACAUACUAAGAACUUCAGAUACAAAAUACACUGGGACCUGCCUCUUGACUUGGCCAUCAAGCUUCUCCUGGACCAGUGCUGCACUUACCGCUGAGUGCGAAGCUGCCACAUAUAAUAACAAAGGAGCCCCUGGCGUAGGUGGAGUUAGUGCUGUUAGAUCAAUCAAAUACUGUUUCAGCUCUUCGAAGGCCUUCUGCUGGAUUGGUCCCCAUUGAAAGACUUCGGCUGACUUCAGCACUUCGAAGAAUGGUAAGUUUCUCUCUGCUGAUCUGGAUAUGAAUCUAUUGAGAGAUGCCAACCUUCCUGUCAACCUUUGAGCCCCCUUUUUUGUAGUUGGUGGCUCCAUCCGAAGUAUAGCUUCAAUCUUAUUUGGAUUAGCUUCGAUUCCCUUUGUUGAAACCAAGCAUCCUAGAAAUUUCCCCUUCUUUACUCCGAAGACGCAUUUUUUCUGGAUUCAACUUUAAGCCAGCUUGCCUGAAACUGGCAAAGGUCUCCUGCAAAUCAGCAAUAUGAUUCUCCUGUUUCGUGCUUUUUACAAUGAUGUCAUCAACAUAAGUUAGCACAUUCCUGCCUAUCUGAGACUGGAGAACCUUCGCAGUCAUUCUGCUGAAACUUCCUCCAGCGUUUUUGAGCCCCUCAGGCAUCCGAAGAUAGCAAUAUGUGCCACUUGGGGUUAUGAAGCUAGUCUUCGGCUCAUCUUCCUUCUUCAUCCAGAUUUGGUGAUAGCCUGAGUAACAGUCUAGCAGACUCAUGAGCUCUGAAGAAGCUGCUGCAUCAACUAAAGAGUCUAUCCUUGGCAAUGGGAAUUCAUCCUUCGGACAAGCCUUGUUAAGAUCUGUAAAAUCGAUACACAUUCGCCACUUGCCAUUGGCCUUUUUUACCAUAACAGUGUUAGCUAACCAUUCUGGGUACUUUACUUCUCUGAUAACUCCUGCAGUGAGGAGUCUUUUGACUUCGUUACGAGCACCUUCGGCCUUAUCAUCAGACAUUUUCCGAAGCCUCUGCUUUCUGGGUCUGAAGGAUGGGUCAACAUUGAGCGAGUGCUCAAUAACAUCCCUAUUUACUCCGCAGAGAUCAUUAGCUGACCAUGCAAAAACAUCUUUGUUGUUGAACAAAAACCUUAUCAAGGUUUUCUCCUGCUCUUCGGAUAAUUGAGAGCCUAACAGCACCUUCUGCUCUGCUAUGUCUUCACAUAAGAGCAUAGGCUUCGGCUGAUCUGAUGAAGCUGCUUUCUCCCUUCUAAAUUUGUACUGUUCACAAGCUUCAGCUCCAUCUAUGUUAUGGAUUGCUUUUGAGUCAGUCCAAUUGCCUUCGGCCCUUCUGGCAGCUUCCUGACUUCCAUGAAUAGCGAUGGGUCCUUGAUCCGAAGGUAUCUUCAUGCAAAGAUAGGCAGGAUGAAGAAUUGCUUCGAAAGCAUUGAGUGUGCCACGACCAAUAAUUGCAUUGUAAGGGUAUUCCAUGUCAACAAUGUCAAACACAACUUGCUUAGUUCUAGUGUUGUUGAUGAACCCGAAGGUUACUGACAUGGUGAUCUUGCCCAGUGCCACAAUCUGUCUUCCUCCGAAGCCACAGAGAGGAUGUGUAGCAUCAUGAAUCUUAUCUUCUGGCUCUUGCAUUUGUCUGAAGGCCUUAGCAAAUAUGAUAUCAGCUGCACUGCCUGUGUCAACCAAGACAUUGUGGACCAGAAAUCCUUUGAUAACACAAGAGAUAACCAUGGCAUCGUUGUGUGGGUAAUCCUUGAGCUGAAGGUCCUCUUGGGAGAAGGUAAUAGGAAUGUGAGACCAUCUUGACUUGAUGAAGGGUCCUUGCACCCCAACAUGCUGUACCCUUCUAUGUGCUUCCUUCUUUUGUUUCUUGUUAGCUGGCUCUGAGGACAAACCACCUGUGAUCGGGAGCACCAGCUUCGGGUCCGAAGCAGCUCCAGCUUGGUCGUUGAACGAAGCCAUCAGCUCAAAAAGUGGAAGUGAGUUCACCGGAGGUGGGCGCCAAUGUUGGAGACUUAUUCUCAAGUGCUAUGAAUUAAGAACAAGGCAACAUAAAGUGUUAAAUGUUAACGUCCUUCGUCCAUGAAACAUUAUUCCCUUGAGGAUAAUGGGCCUUGAACGAAGGUUGAUGAAAGAAUAAUUACGAAGCUCAAGUCUUCGUAAUAAAAUUUCAAUAGGUAUUGUAAGAUGACAUAAAAUAAAAGGUAUAAAAGGGGGAAAUAAAUCAUAGACGAAUUAUAUUAUAUUUACUUAAUAUAUUGAAUCAUCAAAUACGAUAAUACCUCUGCCUUGGCAAAGGUUGAAUUCCAGAAUAUGCUAUUGCAAUUACCAGAAUCCGUGAACAGUAAAGGAAUACUGUUCACUAUUUAUAGGCACAGGACGCAGCCUGUGAUGAAUUACAAGUAUGCCCCUUAUAAAAGCUUACAACAAUGACUCAGACCUUUAGGGACUAAAAGGUCAUUCUACCUUUAGGUCGGUUUGUAAUACCGAAGCUUCUCGAAGAGGAACCUUCGGCCAUCUUAUACAAACAGCUUCAGCCGAAGACCGCUUCUUCCUGUAAGACCUUCGGCGACGAAGCAUAGGCCCAACACCUAUGGUGGGUUAAUUUACGUUGGCUACGUUUCAAUUCUGUGUACUUUGAUUUAUAUUAUGUAAAUGACUCUAGUCUUUAAUAUUAUUACUUACUCUUUAUUGUUAUUCGAAGCAUUGUGCUAUGAUGAGUCAUUUAUGUAAUCGCUAUGUACGUGAGUUCUGAUCCUGGCACGUACAUGGUUCGCAUUCGGUUUACCUUCUAAAACCUGGGGUGACAGGUGGCAUAGCAGGAGUGGAGGGCAGCGACGGCUGCACAGCUCUGCGUGCAAUGGCUUGCAUUUUUUGCUCCUCGUUGGCGAUGCGUGUGCGACCAUGAGCUCUCGACACAGGCAGGUAGUAGUAGAGCAAGAAUUGUAACCUUGGGUUUUCCCACACCUCAAAUAGAUAUAGAUAUAGGGAUAUAGAUAGAUAUAGCAAAUUCACCAAAUAAUAUAGGGGUAUAGAUAUAGAUAUAAUAAGGGGUAUAGAUAUAGAUAUAGACAUAUAGAAGAUAUAGAUAGAUAAAUAGAUAUGAUAGAAUAGAUAACUUACAAUUUUGUCUAAAAGAAACUAAAUCACUGCUAAGUUUGGAGUAGCAUAUCUUUGGUGAAUACUUGCUAGUGAAUUGGUUUCCGCUAUAGUAUAUAUAUAUAUAUAUAAGUAUAAACUCUUCUAGGAUUAUAGUAUAUAUAUAAGUAUACACUCUUCUAGGAUCAAUCGUGAGGAGUUCCUUAAAUUGUCUUGCGACAUGGAGUACAGAAAGAGGGUGGAUGCGCUAGUGUUUUUCUCGUUACUUCUCGGAUACUUUGCUGCUCAUGCACAUGGGAAGGGUAAGUGAAAACUAUACAGACAUGUGUGUGCAUGCUUAGAUAGAUCUAGACAAUUUAGAAGAUGUUAUUAUAUGAUACCGUGUGUGUAUCAUGGCGAAUUGCUAAUGUAUCGCAAUCCCCUGUGUUAAAUUACUCAAAUAAUUUCGAAUGUAAUUAUUCUCGAGGCAUUUGUUGGUAAUAGAACUCUUAUCCUAUACCUUCUACUAGGUCAUGUCACAGAUGAUGUCGGUGUUUCUACUCCAGCUAAAGAAGGAAUUAUGCAAGGAAACGGAGCACGAUGUGUUGUAGGGUUUCCUCCAUGCAAAGAUAACAAGUGCUACUGCUGCAUUGGGGGGCGAACUCAUGCUCGCUACUCUACGAUGGCUGAGUGUAGACAUGCCUGCUUCUAAACAAAAAUUAAGAUCGCUGUUAUUAUAUACAUUGUAAUGGUAGGUAAUGCUAUUAAUAAUAUAUGGGAAUUUUAGUUUUGGUAUUAUACUUUUUUCCAAUUCACAAAAUUUAGUCAAAAUCUAACCAGUUUUUUAGAGGACUUAAAUAUAAAGUAUAUUUCCCUAUAAAUUUUAAUGAAAAAAAUAUUAGAAUGCUUUGGGAUGCCUCCAUCAGCUCGUGGAUGCUGUUGCGGAUAGACAACAGUAUCGGUAUAAAUCUCACUGCACAGAAUGAGGACGUUUCUAGGAGAACGUGCAUUCGGUCACGUUAGCGGAAAAAUCCUGAGUAGCAGUAGUUGCCUCCCAUAUCGGUGUCAACACCACGAAUGUUUCGUGCGACACAGAAGGUUUGCGGCUUGCUGUGGCAUUAAUCCGGCUGCGGCUUGUACAGUAUUUUGUCUCUAUGGAUUGCAGCUGCAGCCGUCUGAACAUCUGCAGGUCCUGUGGUUACAGGGCAGCCGAACAAGUCGUUGGUGCGAGGUCGGAGCAGUGGCAACCUGAUGCUCAAGGUGGUUCCAGAUGUCCACUCAGACAGAUGCUAGAGGCUUUUGGAUGCGACAUGCCUCUUCAGGGGAAGUGGAUCCUAAAGCCGAUGUUGCCCGCUAGGAGCAGGGUGCUCCAAGCCAAGAAACAUCCCAGAAAGGGAAGGAGGUGGCGCCGAACGAGGGUGGAUCAAGCGACGAUCGCAAUAGGUCACCCGAUUGGGGAGACUCCUCGCAAAUAGUAACGAUAAGGUCAUUAGGACCUUUUGGGGGCACAUGGCACGAUCAUGAGAGUUAGACUUCCUUGUUAGACUUUCUUUUUUUGCCACAUCCUUACAUCUAUUUUCUCAGCCCUAUGACGUCAGCCCCUUGUAGCACCCCAAAAAUGCAAACCUAGAAAAUUUCUCAAACUCGCUCUAAAUUCAAAAUGAAUUUUAAAUUUUGUUUCAAAAUGUUUUCUUGCGAGUUGAUCUCAACAAAAAAAAUAUAGUGGUCUGCCUUAUCUCCGAAAUUCUUUUCAAAAUAUCCUACAAAUAUUUCCCUAGUGAUCCCCUCAAAUUCUUUUCAGAAAUACUGGCUAAAUGUUCCACCGAUAUUUCUCCAAAUAUUUUUCUCCUAAGAAAUACCCUCGGAAUCACUUUUAAAAUCCCUACAAAUAUUUUCUUAAUAAUUUUCCUUAUGCUCAUACAUAUACAUACGCCUCCGGGGUCAUACAGUGAGCUCUACAAGCUAAUUUCACUUAUCCAUAGCUAAUACAUGGUUUAUCUCUCACUAAUCCUCGCCUCCUCCCACUAAUCCUCGACUCCUUCGCCUAAUCCCCCACCUUGCCCAUUAAUAAAGGGGCAAGGGGCCCACUCAUGCCAUCCCAAGCCAUUUCAUGGCUACUCAAUCCCACUCACUAACUUACUCCCACUCCGACACAAGCACAACACGCGCACAAGGAUAAUUCGGUUGUUCAUUCAAUUGUUCGUCCAAAUGUUCAUAGUUCAUUCGUUCGUUCCUCCGAUUGUUCGAUCAUCCAUCCGAUAGUUCAUGGUUCAUUUGUUCAUCCGUCCGAUCAUUCGAUCGUUCGUUCGUUCGUGUCCAAAUAAUCUUUGUCCAGCCAUUAUACUGACAAAAUUCUGAUCGCUCUUUCGUCCGAUCGUUCAUCCGUUCGUUCAUAAUCCAUGUUCAUCGUUCGUUCCUAUGAACUAUUCAUUGUUUGUUCAUAAUACCUAUUCAUCGUUCGUCCAAACGAACUAUUCAUCGUUCAUCGAAUAAUUCAUAAUCACUAUUCAUCGUUCAUCGGAUCGUUCAUCCUACUAACCAUCGUUACUUAUUAUUGUUCAUCUGAUCGCCCAAAUAUUCAACUACUCAUCCAUCAUGAUGAUGAGCUCACCUAAAACCUGCUAGACUAAUAUCUCAGCCAUACAAACUCUGGUGACUGUGAUUUUCCUUCCAGUUAGAACUUCACGAUUGGUCACCCAUCCCAGAAUUGCUCUAAGUUGAGAACGCUUAACUUCGAGGUUCUUUCGAACCAGGCUUUCAAAAAGAAAGGCGAACCAUGUUUGUACAGAUAUGUAGCACCCCGAAAAUUCAAAUCUAGAAAAUUUCUCAAACUCGCUCUAAAUUCAAAAUGAACUUUUAAAUUUUGUUUCAAAAUGUUUAUUUGCAAGUUGAUCUCAACAAAGAAAAUAUAGUGGUCUAUAUUCUCUCCAAAAUUCUCCUCAAAAAGACCUACAAAUAUUUUCCAAGUGAUCCCUUCAAAUUCUUUCAGAAAUAUUGCCUAAAUAUUCCAAAUAUUUUUGUAGUUUGUUCAUUCGUUCGUCCAAAUAAUCUUUGUUCAGUCGUUAUGCUGCCAAAAUUCCGAUCGUUCGUUUGUUCAUUAUCCCUAUUCAUUGUUCGUUCAUACAAACUAUUUAUCGUUCAUCGUUCCUUCAUAAUCCAUAUUCAUCGUUCAUCUUUCGUUCAUAUGAACUAUUCACCGUUAAACGGAUCAUUCAUAAUCAUUAUUCAUCGUUCAUCCUACUAUACAUUGUUACUCCGAUCUCCCAAAUAUUCAACUUCUCAUCCAUCAUGAUGAUCAACUCACCUAAGACCUACCAGACCAAUAUCUCAGUCAUACAGACUCCGGGGACUGUGAUUUUCUUUCUAGUAAGAACUUCCCCUUUGGUCACCCAUCCAAGAAUUGCUCCAAGUUGAGCACGCUUAACUUUAAGGUUCUUUCGAAACAAGCUUCCAAAAAGAAAGGUGAAACAUGUUUGUAUGGAUACACCGUCAAUCUUAUAAAUCCUGGCCCAAGAUACCACAGCCCGUCCAGACGAGAAUAUCGCAGUAUUCCAGUUGUUUGGGUGCUGCCUUACUCUUGUCCGACAACAGAGAAGGUAGGAACAAUUGCCACCAACAUAAGUAUCUGCUCAUGAACAGUCCAGAAAUAAUUCAUGGCACUUUGCUUCCAAAUAUCUCUAAAUAUUGUAAUUUUGGAAUAUUCUAGGAAUAUUCCUUUUCCCUUUUCCUUUUAUAUUCCUAUGAUUAUAAAAACCAAAACUCCUUUGUCCAGUCUCUCAUUUUGACAGUUCUGAUUUCUAAAUUCUUAUCAAAUUACCCUCUAUCCAUCCAUGUAAUUCCGUAAGCAUGGUUCAUAUUGUAGAAAACUCCAAAAAUAGUCUUGUCCCAUAUUUCACCUAUAAUUUUCUAUCCAAACUGAUUCUUUCACCACGAUUCUCAUAAACAGUAAACUCUACCAUACUAAACCAUACGCACCCAUCUAUAAAUACCUCCAGAGAGUUACCCUCUCCCUUCCACACCCUCAACAACCUGAGCUAAGGCAACCACCCCCCGCACUCAGUUACCUCCCUCUGCCACUACACUUCUAGUAUUGGUCCACCUCCAAUACACUCUUCGGGUAAGCAUCUCUACUCCAUCAACACAAACUAUACUCAAAACUAUAUUCACCCAUCUACCACCAUUCCUGACCACUAUAAUGAAUAUUUGUUGAUAUACUUGCUGAUUUGUAUGCUUGCUUGUUCAUGCUAUGUAGUUAUCGGAGCGUUCAUGCUGUCUUGUGAAGGCCAGUUCUGCAAGUCUACGCCAGACGGUGGAGCCAGAAGCCAAUUCCACGAGCUCUCACCCUUUCACUGGUUAAAGCAUGGCAAGCUCACUGGAUCCCUUUGAUGCAUAAAUUACAUAUGUUUUUCAAAGACAAUCAUCAGCAUGUUAUUUUAUGCAUUAUAUGAUUUUUCUGCUAAGAGACAUGUUAAUAUGGCAACCUAGCCUUAGAACUUUGCCGCAAUUCAUCUUUAUACUCCUUAACAUUUUUGUUACAAAAAGGUUUGAAAAAAGGUGUGAGUUUUUCAAAAUAAAAUGUUUUUCAAAAUGUGUAUGAUGAAUGGUUAUCACCCUUAUCACCUUUGAGUGGGAUGAUCAGGGACUCCUCGGUGUUGGGUGGGCCUUAAGGUGAUGGCUUAGCCCGGUUAGGUGUGAGAAUGAAGAAUUACCCCUCUCGUAUAAGGACCGGUAUGCCAUUCUUCACUGUCUAUAGUCUUUUCAAGUACAACCACUCAAGACCAUAUGGGCAGUCACUUGAUCCAAACUUGCACGGUCGGCACCCUAGGGUUAUGUUGGCUGGCGAGCACCAGGAGGACAAGGAGGGGGAAAGUUUUGUCCUGGUUUGGGCAUGGAGGUGGCCAUGUUACUUUUGGUAUAACUGUUAAGGUAAAGACAUGUAGGGGAGGAGAGAGUUUCGGUAAUCCGAUCUCACGACGGUGAGAUUGCAGAAACCGGACUAUUGGGUGAAGUGUACACCUCUUCACAGAGUUUCAAAACCUAUUCGAAUAGUCCGCGUCCACGGAUAUGAAUGAGUUAUGACUUGGUUUGACAAUUAGUAUGUUGUUUUCCAAAAAUGCUUUUGACAAUUGGUUUCAAAAGUUUUGAUGGUUGAGUUGUGAGCUAUGGUGGACGGGAAGUCCAAUAGCUGUUUUUGAAAUUGAAAAUGAAAACCGUUGGGAAAUUACCGAGAUUCCUGGAUGGUUUAGUCUAGGGGAUUUUGUUCUAUAUAAAAAAAUUCCUGCUCCUUUGGAAGAGGAAGCAUUUUGAAAAAAGAUAAAAUGUUUUACAAAAUAGCCCUAAACCCUAAACCAUAAACCCUACUGCAUAGAGAACCCCCUACAUCAAGCAUGUUUACUAAUGCAGGACACCAAGACUUGCAGGACACCAAGACUAAAGAAUAUGUAUAACUAUUCACAGAAUUUCUUUGUACAUAUAACAUAGAAGAAAUUUUGAUUGUCCUCAAUGAACACAAUCAGGAUGAAAUAAUAACAGAAGGACAUUAAAUAAAAACAGUGUUAAUAAACGUAGAUGAGGUAACAAAAACAUAUAUCUCGUGAAAUGAUUUUUUGAGGUCAAAGUGCAAGGUGGCAAUAAAAUGAGAGAAUUCCCUAUUUAACGCUACUAUAUGAGUGCUUCCUUCUAUGGCCAUGAAAAUUACAUACUCAAUGGAUGCAGGAUCUAACUUUUAUUCUUAAUAACACUAAUGUUAACUAUUCCAUCAAGACAAUGAUGAGUGCCAUGUGAAAAGAUGGGGCUGCACUUAUGGUUUGCAAUUCUGCAAGUAACAGCUAGAGCAUCAGGUGGUGGAGCAUUUGUGUUUCAAGCAUUUGUGUUAAAAACCAUCCGAUAUCAAAAUUAGCAUUUGUGUUUUAAUUCCAUCCUUUGAUGUGUUUUUAUUUGCUAUCACCAUUACCUUGUUAUCCAUCGAUCUUGCCUUGAUACUUAUCUUUGUGCCUACUCUUUAAAACCUCCUCUCUUCCACCUCAAUUUGAGAGCGGCAAUUUACCUAUCUCGCCCUUGGACGUACCCUCUCCUUUUCCAUUUGAAGGUCCGGUAUUAACUCCAUUAUUUAUGGUACUUAUACCCUUCGUCUUAUGCCUAUUUAUCUCCUCUCAUACAUCCUUGUCUGUUAUUACCUUAAAAACCCUCAUGAUAUCUAUGCCCAUGCCUUCCUGCUUACCUUGAACCUACCCUUUGAAGCCCCCUCUUUUCCAUCACUGUUCAAGGAUAAUGCCUCAUCUAUUUCAUCAUUCACUACUCCCUUUCUUUGACACCUUGCAAGUUUUAUCUAAAAUACAUUCAUUGGUUGUGUGUUUUUUUGUGAUCACCUUAACCCUUGUCAUCCAUCGAUCUUGCACCUUGAUGCUUAUCAUGUACCUGUAUUUUAAAGCUUCCUCUCCCAUUUGAGUUCAUGAGUGUUGUCUUACACCUCCUGCUCUUAUUCGUUCCCUAUUCCUCUGUCGUGUUGCAAGUUGUAACACCCCAGGUGUUACUCAGGGUGUCCAUCCCAGGGUUACCCCCUUUUACCCAUUAUCACAUGAAGACUGAUUUGGGCAAAGUAUACCAAACUUGGAAUUCUAGGUCCUAAGCAAGUGUAAUCCACCUUGGAUGUCAUGCCCUAGCUUAUCAUGCACAUCUAAGUGGGGUUCUCCCAAAACCCUAAAGCAAAACCCCCAUAGGCAAUGGGAACCCUAAUUGAAGCCAUGAUCAAAAGAUUAUGUAAACCUUAUGAUCAUGGUUUGGGCCAAAUAUAAAAGUUGUAGUACACUUAAUAACCUACAAUUAAUAGUAAGGAAGUACCCCCAAAAAGUUUCCAGAAAAGCCCUAAACAGUUCACCUAAGAUUUAGCACAAGGGAAAAUUCAGUUUUUGCCUAAGUACAAAAACUAACCCUUGCACAAAGACUCCACAUGUUCACCUUAAUCCCCUUUUCAAAACCCUUCGACCCAAUUGACAAAAUGGCGCCAAAUUAACCCUAGGACACCCUGGAAAGAGAUGACACCUACCCUAGGGCGCUAGACACGACUUGACACCCCUUUUGUCUCGGUUCGGGCUUGGCUGACACAGCAAACUUCUCCCCUCUCUAUCUCCCUACCCCGACCAUAUCUCGACUUGGAACUCACAGCGAAAAGAUAGGAUUUGGAGCAGAGAAGCGACCGUACACAGUGACUUUGCCAAGAUACGCACGCUAUGGCGCUCUAAUCGGCCGUUGAACCAUGGCAGAAGCAAGCUUCCACGUGUUCGACGCGAGCUGGCAUCCGGGGGCGCGCUCAGAGCACGCCCGUGCGCGAACCCCCGCGCACCCGCGGCCGCCCGUGACCACGCCCGCGCCACGGCUAUAAAGCCCGCCCCAGUGCUUGGCUGCCUUCCCCGUUACCUCCUCCGUACCUCGCCGGACUCGCCCGAGCCAGCCAUUAACUCCGGCGACCUCCCCGCGACCCGCCAGUGCCGCCCGAGAGCAACCACCGUGGCCAGCCCCUCUCCCGUCCUCCUCCGUUCGAUCCAAGCCCUCAGAGAGCUUCCUGGUGAAGCCGUGAGUCUUGCUCAAGCUUGACCCAGGGACCCGCGUCACCGGAAUAGCCCAAUCGUGCGCACCGGAGUUCAAGAACCCGCCGGCGCACGUGGACCGGGUAAGCCCCUGCACCAUUUUCCAAUUCCUUGCGCGUAUGGCCUCUGUGUCACCCCGUGAAGCUCCUCGUGCACCCUAAUUGAUCUAUGCCGCCGUGGUUUGGCCGGAGCAGGAGCCGCCGACGACCCCCACCGCCUGUGCUCGUGGCCAGGGUAGCUCCGACCACCUCCGACACCGACCCGCACAUCGGCGUGACCGUUGCGACCUCCUGGACGUCACUGACCACCCCGCCGGAGCUCUACUGCCGCCGGUAAGCCCCACCGCCGUAAAAUGUACCGCGGGCACUGUUUAAGCCGGUCAGGGAGCGCGGGUUAGAUUUUAGUUAAGUCCAGGGGGCUUGGCGCAAUGUCAGUGACUCAAGCCAAUAGUGGACCAAGGGCUGUUCUGUGAGAAAAGAAAAGGAAAAACCCCAGGGGCCUCGGCGUAAACACGUUUUCUUUUUCUAUUUUCGAAUUUCUUUUCUUUUGUUAAAACAGAUAGCUAAGUAAAUGCAUAACUUGCAGAAUAAUCAUCCAAAAAUGUUCAAACCAAUUUUGCUAGAUUCAGAAAUUUAUGAGCUAUCAGAGAAAAAUAAUAGAACCCAUAGCUUCUGUAUUUCUUUCUGAAGUUUAGAAUUAAAUAAGGAAACCACUCAAAACCCAAUAUUAGGAGGAAAAAUAGGAAUAUUGUUUGACCAGGGUUAGAAAAAUUUGGAGAAACUUCUAUCUACCUACUAGACCAAGUAAAAAUGUUAAACCUCUCUGUCCACUCCAUUUAAGUUAGUUUUACCCUUUAUUCUAUAAUAUGCUUAAGAAUAAGGAAAAUAGAAAAUGCAACUUAAUUAAUGAACCAGAGAGUACUUCUAUUUUUGUUAGGUUACUUAUUCAAUAUAGUUCACUGGAAAAAUAUAUCAUACCUUGGUUUAGUACAAAUUAAGUAGGAUAUCUUUUAUUUUAUUAAAACAAGGAUAACUUAGAAAAACCCUACAAAAAUGACCCCAAGGUAAAAACACCCCCACCCUUGGGAUGACUAUUGUUUUAUUAGAGAGAACUUAGGAAAAAUAUGAAAUCUGCUGUUUGACAUUUUUCAAAUAAUAUUGUAGUAGAAAGUGCCAUUUUGACAUUAAACUUAAGAAAAGCAUAACUAAAUAACCACCCCUUAGUUUUCUGUAAUUUUUAGCACAGAAACCUAUUAUUACCAUAGGAUGCCAACAAAAAUACCUUUAGGCAGAACCCACCCCUAACUAAGAGGUGUAGUGUGAAGUGGCCCAUUUUGCCUAACUUUUGUUAUUUUUGUUUAAAGCCUAACUUUUAUACUUUAAGCCUCAAAUUCUUAAAACAAGCUAGAAUAGCCAGUGAUAACCCACUGGAAUUUUUACAGAAUUUUUGGAAAAUUUUAAAACCCUGUUGUAGUUCAAACCUACCCCAGAAACCCUAAAUGGAAAUUAAGGAAAGGAAAAUGAAUAAUGGAAAUUUAUGUCAUCUUAAGACCUUUGUAAAUUGUCCACUGAAAUCUAUAAAUACAACACCAAUCCACUAUAAUAAUCUAAAAGAAAACCUAAUCUUAAAAGGUAAUAAGUCUAUAUCUAUGUAUACCACUGGAAGCCCAGCGUGACUAAGAAAACCCUAAGUUACUUCUUAACUUAGUUUCUUUAGCUUAUUGUUCUUAAAUCCUGCAUAAUCAUGACAUACAUGUUCAUUGCAUUUCGAUAGACUGUAAUCUUGCUGACGGAGAGUACAUCCUCGUGCCGGAGCAAGGAGCUGCUCAGGAGGUAGCCCCAGAUCCAGCACCCGAGCCUGCACCAGAGGACCUGCCUGCCACAGCUUUGGAAGGCAAGCCCCGGUUUUAUGCAUAACCUGUUAUUAUACUAGUUUACUUCACUUAAUGCUUGUAGGAUUGAUUGUGCACUUAAGUGUAGGAAUUGUUUGAAACCCUAGUUGCAUGAUCUCAGGAAUCCCAUUGAGAUGAAUACUAGUAUGAUAGGUCGAGUAGUUGCUUUAUUUAAUUAGGAUCUCGGUAGAAGACGAGUGAUUUUUCUAGCACUCGCGCGAGAUCAGGGAUUUGACUGUACCCACUUUCACAUUAUCAUGGUACUGGUUGAUGGACAACAAUCCAUGGGGAUUGGUUGUCUACGAGAUGAAAUUUGAAUAAGGAUUAAGGUGUGGUACCGUGUGUCAAGCGUUUGAACGUACUAAACACAUACCGAGAAAUAUGGUAAAUCGGUAAGCCUAGUACCUGAUUGAACCUGGCAGUAGACUUUGCCCCUCACGCGACCUGAGACGAGGUCUCCCAUUCCGGUUAUGGUGGGUACAAGUGCGGUCACUGCACGACGGCCAGUCGGGGUCAGUGAGGCAUUGUAAGCCAAGGCGGUGAGCCCUGUUCUGCUGACGAGGAAUCGAUGGGGACGGUUGAUAUGUGUGGGGACGGAGUGCCCCUGCAUGUCGUGUGUUUAGGUUUACCUUGCAAGGAUAAAAACUCGAUUCGAAUCGUCUACUUCUCGCAGUUAAUGAGACUGCUUGAUCCAUGCUGCUACAUUGAGUAAUAAGUGGAAGUAUGAUGAGUUGAGAUAAGAUGUUGAUUGUUAAUAAUGCUUGCUACCAUGUAUGAGUAGAUAGUUCACUUUUAGCCUUAAGAGAGUCACACUUAACUUUGACUAAGUUAAAAUCUUGAUUUAGAAACUCAGCUAGUGCUUUUGGCAACCAAACCCCACAUCCAAACAGCUGCAUGUCUAGAGGUAGAGGAGUAGACUCCUCACACCGGGUAAGUCUAGCUGAGUAUUAGUAUACUCAGCCUUGCUUGUGGCAUAAUUUUUACAGGUUCUCUGGAGGAGAUGGUUGCUGGGAUAACUUGGCCGUCCACCUUGCCACCGGGUUGGACUGUUGAGUGGGACCCUGCCUCGGCCGAGGAGGAGCAUGAGGAGUGAUGGGACAGGCUUCCCCAUCUCUCUGUUUGAUUACCGUUAGUUUUAUUCCGCUGCACUUCGAACAAUGAUGGUUACUUUUGCAAAAACUCCGAUGAUGAUGAUGGUGAUGUAAUAAUUUAACAUUGUGACAUGAAUGGUUUUAUGCUUUAUUGUAUUUGCUCUGUGACUCACCUUCGAGUGAGAUUGUGGUACUUGAUCCUGUCAGUGGCCGUGUCGAACUAGAUCCGAGGGAUUGACGGGUUAUUCCCAUUUAAGUGUGGUCUAGCCUCUGAGGCGGGAUUUGGGCACUUAAGUUGGAAUAAUUCGGGCAGUUCCGCCAGAGCUGGUAUCGGAGCUUGUACCACCACAGAGGAAUCAAUAAAAUGUAAAUACCAUCAAUUUUUCUAAAUAAAAACUGAAUAGAAACAAGGUUGGAUAGAUAGCAGGACGAUCAGGAUAGACCUAGGACGUGAAGCCUUAAGAUAAGAGAAGGGUAGCUAGGUGGCUAAGUAACUAGGCCCUACAGGCCACUUUUACAGGAUGGGAGUUCCUCCCUAUUCCUUUUAUCUUGUUGUGAGGCCGUUCAGGACGAGCAUGCAUGCAUUCAUAAUUAAGCAAUGGAUAACUGAGUAAAGGACUUAAAAACAAGAUAACAACCAACUAGGUCCCUAGUGCCUUUUUACUUAACUAGAGAAGGGCUGAGUUUUAUUUUCCUUGUUCUUUUUAUAAUUCUUUUUCUUUUACAUACGCUUAACCGUACACAGAUGACUUCCCACGGAUCCUCCGAUGACGGAAAUGCACUGACCCACACUGACGGACUUGCACGAGAGGGCUUUCCCCGCAUUUUGUGGGAAGUACUUCAGGGGGCCGGAUAAACGACACCCCCUCAGUACGCGGUGCAGCAGUUCGAGAAGCACCGAGUGCCUCGCUGUAGGGUGAGGAUGACCUUGGAGCCUCAUCCCCUGCAGCCAGGAUGGCGCUCCUUGGACUCCGAGUCUUUCGGGUACCGAGCAGAGGACACGAUCGAGGCGAUCGCUCUGCAUGGGUUGACUACCUUCUGUGGAUUCCAUCCCUUGGAGCUGGCUACCCACCCCAUUGGCUUGUUCCCCGCUGAGAAGGAGGACGACCCAAUGUGGAAGGAUCGGGUGGAGCAUGCCAAGGACAUCUGGGCCAUCUACCCAGGUCAGACUGCGCAUUUGACAGUACGGUGCAUGAAUGCUCUGUACCGUCUGCAGGUGAUGCGCGGUGAGGCAAUGUCCCAUCUGAUGGCACUGCUGGAAGCAACAAAGAUCACGCUGGAUAACUGAGAGGAGCUCGUGGUUGACCUAUCUCAGGAAAUGGUGGAGAAGGAUUUGCAGGUGGAGCAGCUAUCCACUGAUAUUCAGGAGUUGGAGGAGCUGGUAGGCACCAGGGAGAACACCAUCGAGGUUCUCGAGGAUCAGCUCGUUAACACUCAGCAGCAGCUUGCUGAGGCUAACGAGCACCUGGACAUGCAUCACCAAGAGAUCCAGGACCAGGAGGCCAACGAGGACGUCGACAUUGAGGGAGGAGAUGAGCCUGCCUCCAGUGUGGACACCGCUGGCUCGGGAAGACCACCUUCCCCCGAGUCAAGUGUUGCUUCGUUCGCUCACUAGGUGUCCAGGGUAGGCUUAGAAGUUGGACAGUCGGACUCCUCGCAGCUAGCUUAGCUUUUGCACCCUUGGGGUACUAGGCUAGGUAGAGUUGAGUCAUUUUGGAACAAUUUGAUGUAACCGUGUUGAACUCUCUUGGGAGCUUGUUUGAUGGAUGCUAUUAUCAGUUUAAAUUUGGAAGGAGAAUAUUAUGCCUCUUUAAACUCCCUUUUUUUGAAGUUAGAGCCUAUCAUGCUGUUUUAACUUUUUCCCCGUGAUGAAAUCUUGAAAUUUGAACUGUGGUGUUAAGUAAGUAUGUGGUUUUUCAGAUGGCCGGAAGGCAGCGUCGUGGCCAGAACGAGCGCGUUCCUCCACCGCCACCACCACCUCCCACUCUGCAGGAGCUCAUGGCUCAGCAGAAUGAGAUCCUGAGGCAGCUUGCUCAACGUCAGCCACCACCUCAGCAUUAUGGUGGUGGGGACCACCAACGUCACCCCGCGGCGGCCACCUAUCAGGAAUUCCUCAGCACCCAGCCUCCACUGUUCACAAGGGCGGAGGACCCACUUGACGCAGAUGUAUGGCUGCGAGUGGUGGAAUCCAAAUUCCCACUACUCCAUGGAGUUUGCUCAGAGGUCACCAAAGUCAGGUUCGCCACCCAGCAGCUUCGCGGACCUGCAAGGACUUGGUGGGAUCAUUUUCUUGCUAUGCAGCCAGAGGACCGAGAGGUGGAGUGGAGGGAGUUUAAGGCAGCUUUUAGAGGACACCAUAUACCCGCCGGGAUCAUGGACAGGAAACUCAAUGAGUUCUUGGCACUCACUCAGGGCAACAGGACAGUGUUGUAGUAUGCCCAGGCCUUUAAUGACUUGUGCCAGUACGCGGGGUAUCAUGCAGAUACAGAUGAGAAGAAGAGGGACAGAUUCAGAAGGGGGCUCAGCACUAAGCUCCGGGAUCGUCUCAACACCGUCAGGGCCAACAGCUACAAUGAGUUGGUAAACAUGGCUAUCUCCCAAGAGGACUGCAUUACAGCUAGGCAGGCAGAAAAGAAGAGGAAGACCCCCGUGGCGGGACCCUCAGCUCAGCCACAUCGCUUCAGGAUUGUGUCCGACACCCAGGGCAGGGGGCCCCAGCAGCAGCAAGGGCGAUGGGUAAUCCGACCUCAGCAGCAGCAGCAGCAGGCACCCAACCGCACCCAAUUUCCAGUUCAGAGGGGCAAUCAACAGCAGCAGCAGUACCGCCAAGCCAAUGACAACAGGUGCUUCACUUGUGGCAACACUGGGCAUUAUGUCAAGAAUUGCCCCAGGAACCAGCAGAGGCAGGGGCAGAAUGUCAAUCAGAACCAAGGCAAGAGACAGAAGGUGCAAGUGAGGCAGGGCAGGCUGAACUUCACCACCAUGGCUGAUAUCCCAGAGGGAGCACCCGUCUUGACUGGUAUCUUUACAGUUUUGAAUUAUCCUGCUAUUGUUCUUUUUGAUUCUGGUGCAUCACACAGUUUUAUCAGUACCAAAUUUAGUGCCAAGUGCCAAUUGCCUUUUCACCACACCAAUGGGGGUAUCACAAUCUCAACACCAGGAGGCAGGGUUGCCUCCUAUCAGAUCUGUAGGCACGUACCAAUUAAGCUGGGUAGUCUCAUCUUCAAAACUACCUUAAUGAUAAUGGGAUUGGAUAGUGUGGAUAUCAUCUUAGGGACUGAUUGGUUGUCACGACACCACGCAGUGAUUGAUGUCGCAGCUAGAGCCAUAGAACUCCGCUCCCCUUUGGAUGGUGAGAUUACCUUAUAUCUACCCGACCAGGGAUGCACCCGUUCUUGUGCCUUUGUUAUGGUAGAAUCCCCAGUGGAAAAGAUCCCAGUGGUCUGUGACUAUCCGGAUGUUUUUCCGGAUGAAUUGCCAGGAAUGCCACCUGACCGAGAUAUUGAGUUCGCCAUCGAAUUGCAACCCGGGACCGCUCCUAUCUCCAAGAGACCCUAUAGGAUGCCUCCCGCGGAAUUGGCAGAAUUGAAGAAACAAUUGCAAGAGUUGUUGGACAAGGGGUUUAUUCGUCCAAGCACUUCACCAUGGGGAUGUCCAGCAUUAUUUGUGAAGAAAAAGGAUGAGAGUUUGAGGAUAUGUGUUGACUACCGCCCUCUCAAUGCGGUGACCAUAAAGAACAAAUACCCGUUGCCUCGCAUUGAUGUUCUGUUUGAUCAGUUGGUUGGAGCCAAGGUAUUCUCCAAGAUAGACCUUCGCUCAGGAUACCAUCAGAUCAUGAUCCGCGCUAGCGAUAUUCCCAAGACGGCUUUCUCUACCAGAUAUGGACUGUAUGAGUUUCUGGUGAUGUCUUUUGGGCUGACCAAUGCCCCGGCUUAUUUCAUGUACCUGAUGAAUUCAGUAUUUAUGCCAGAAUUGGAUAAGUUCGUGGUUGUCUUCAUUGAUGAUAUUCUGGUUUAUUCCAAAAAUGAAGACGAACAUGCUGAGCACCUGCACAUUGUGCUUCAACGACUGCGCGAUCAUCAUCUUUAUGCUAAGUUGUCUAAGUGUGAGUUCUGGCUGAAGGAGAUUAAAUUCUUGGGUCACACAAUUUCUCAGGAUGGGAUAUCAGUUGAUCCUGAGAAGGUGCAAGAGGUAAUGGAUUGGAAACCCCCGACUACAGUGAAGCAGAUUCGGAGUUUUCUGGGAUUAGCAGGGUAUUAUCGACGAUUUAUUCCGGAUUUCUCCAGAAUUGCCAAGCCAAUGACUGAGCUGUUGAAAAAGGGAGUCAAAUUUGAGUGGAGCCAAAAGUGUGAAGAUGCCUUCCAUACCUUGAGGCAGCAUUUGACAACAGCCCCAGUGCUGGCCCAACCUGACAACACCAAGCCAUUUGAAGUUUAUUGUGAUGCUUCUGGUACCGGAUUGGGAUGUGUUUUGAUGCAAGAGAAUAGAGUGAUUGCUUAUGCUUCCCGGGCACUCAGGCCCCAUGAGCAGAACUACCCUACACAUGAUCUAGAAUUAGCAGCUGUAGUUCAUGCUCUGAAGAUUUGGAGACACUACCUGAUGGGAGCUCACUGUAACAUCUACACUGAUCACAAGAGUCUCAAAUACAUCUUCACUCAGGCAGAUCUGAACAUGAGGCAAAGGAGAUGGUUAGAGCUGAUCAAGGACUAUGAUUUAGAAGUGCAUUACCACCCAGGUAAGGCCAAUGUUGUGGCAGAUGCCUUGAGCAGAAAGGCCCAGUGUAAUUGUAUGGGCAUGGAUGUGGGAGUGACCACCCUGUGUGAUGAAUUGUGCAAACUGAACCUGGAAGUUGUUUCUUCGGGUAAACUAAGCUAUAUCUCGGUGGAGCCCACAUUGCAAGAACAGAUUGUCAGGGAACAGGUUGAGGAUAAGGGUGUUCAGGUUAUCAAAGAUAUGAUCAAGCAAAAGGCAGAAAAAUACAAGUGUUUCCGACAGGAUAGCAAGGGAAUUCUAUGGUUUGGAGAUCGAUUGGUUGUUCCCAAAGACCCUGAGCUUAGAAAGAAGAUACUAGAUGAAGCUCACCUUUCAAAAUUCUCCAUGCACCCUGGUAGCAACAAGAUGUACCAUGAUCUCAGAUCUCUAUAUUGGUGGACUAGAAUGAAAAGGGAAAUUGCCAAGUACAUAUCCGAGUGUGAUACUUGCCAGAGGAUAAAGGCUAGUCACUUGAAGGCAGCAGGCCCUUUGCAACCCCUUCCCAUACCAUCUUGGAAAUGGGAGGACAUUUGUAUGGACUUCAUAGUGGGAUUACCCAAUACCUCCAGGCACCAUGAUUCUAUUUGGGUUAUCGUGGACAGGUUGACCAAGACUGCUCAUUUCUUGCCAGUGCAUACCACCCACAGGGCAGAGAAGUACGCUGAAAUUUAUGUUGAUCAGAUAGUAAGGUUGCAUGGUAUCCCCAAAACCAUUAUAUCUGACAGAGGAGCACCAUUUGUGGCACGAUUUUGGGAGUAACUGCAAGAGUCACUUGGGACCCAUGUCAUCCGAAGCUCAGCAUACCACCCCCAAACAGAUGGCCAGACAGAAAGGGUGAAUCAAAUUUUGGAAGACAUGUUGCGAGCAUGUGCACUACAUUAUGGAAAGGAUUGGGACAAGUGUCUGUCUUUGGCAGAAUUUUCUUACAAUAACAGCUAUCAGUCCAGUUUGAAGAUGGCACCUUUCGAGGCAUUAUAUGGGAGAAGGUGUAGGACCCCACUUAAUUGGUCUCAAGCAGGAGAAAGGGAAAUUUUUGGGCCAGACUUGGUACUCGAGGCAGAGGCAAAGGUCAGGGUGAUUACCAAAAACUUGGAAGCUGCUCAGGCUAGGCAAAGGAGCUAUCAUGAUAAGAGGCGGAAGCCUCUACAGUUUGAGGUGGGAGAUCAUGUCUAUCUUAAGGUAUCACCCACCAAGGGUGUUCAGAGAUUCGGGAUCAAGGGCAAGUUAGCCCCUCGCUAUAUUGGACCCUACGAGAUCAAGGAGGCUUGUGGACCCGUAGCCUAUCAAGUGGAAUUGCCACCUCACAUGUCAGCAGUUCAUAAUGUGUUCCAUGUAUCUCAGCUGCGGAAAUGCGUUCGUCUACCCACUGAAGUACUCCCGGAACCAGACAUUGAGAUAGAACCAGACUUAUCCUACCAAGAGUACCCCGUCAAGGUAUUAGAUCAAAAGGAGAGAUCAACUCGGGUAAGGUCGGUCAGAAUGUAUAAAGUUCAGUGGAGUCACCAUUCAGCAGAAGAGGCUACAUGGGAGACUGAGGAUUUUCUACGCUCUCGCUUCCCCGACUUUCUACCCAAAGGAGUCGGUAUGUAACCCCAAAACCCCACCCCCCACCUGCCCUUUGAAUUCAAUUAUAAGAAAAACUUAGAUAACAAGGAUAGUCUAAGUUGUGGAUUUAACUUAAGAAGGGCUUCCUUCUGAAGUUGCAAAGAGGAUGACAUUCGAAGAGCAGUUAAUAACAGAAACUUAAGUGUGAAGGAAAAACAACACCAGCACACCUUCAAGCACCCUCCAAGGGACUCUACCUAAAUCUCGGGACGAGAUUCCUUUAAGGGGGGAUGGCUGUAACACCCCAGGUGUUACUCAGGGUGUCCAUCCCAGGGUUACCCUCUUUUACCCAUUAUCACAUGAAGACUGAUUUGGGCAAAGUAUACCAAACUUGGAAUUCUAGGUCCUAAGCAAGUGUAAUCCACCUUGGAUGUCAUGCCCUAGCUUAUCAUGCACAUCUAAGUGGGGAUCUCCCAAAACCCUAAAGCAAAACCCCCAUAGGCAAUGGGAACCCUAAUUGAAGCCAUGAUCAAAAGAUUAUGUAAACCUUAUGAUCAUGGUUUGGGCCAAAUAUAAAAGUUGUAGUACACUUAAUAACCUACAAUUAAUAGUAAGGAAGUACCCCCAAAAAGUUUCCAGAAAAGCCCUAAACAGUUCACCUAAGAUUUAGCACAAGGGAAAAUUCAGUUUUUGCCUAAGUACAAAAACUAACCCUUGCACAAAGACUCCACAUGUUCACCUUAAUCCCCUUUUCAAAACCCUUCGACCCAAUUGACAAAAUGGCGCCAAAUUAACCCUAGGACACCCUGGAAAGAGAUGACACCUACCCUAGGGCGCUAGACACGACUUGACACCCCUUUUGUCUCGGUUCGGGCUUGGCUGACACAGCAAACUUCUCCCCUCUCUAUCUCCCUACCCCGACCAUAUCUCGACUUGGAACUCACAGCGAAAAGAUAGGAUUUGGAGCAGAGAAGCGACCGUACACAGUGACUUUGCCAAGAUACGCACGCUAUGGCGCUCUAAUCGGCCGUUGAACCAUGGCAGAAGCAAGCUUCCACGUGUUCGACGCGAGCUGGCAUCCGGGGGCGCGCUCAGAGCACGCCCGUGCGCGAACCCCCGCGCACCCGCGGCCGCCUGUGACCACGCCCGCGCCACGGCUAUAAAGCCCGCCCCAGUGCUUGGCUGCCUUCCCCGUUACCUCCUCCGUACCUCGCCGGACUCGCCCGAGCCAGCCAUUAACUCCGGCGACCUCCCCGCGACCCGCCAGUGCCGCCCGAGAGCAACCACCGUGGCCAGCCCCUCUCCCGUCCUCCUCCGUUCGAUCCAAGCCCUCAGAGAGCUUCCUGGUGAAGCCGUGAGUCUUGCUCAAGCUUGACCCAGGGACCCGCGUCACCGGAAUAGCCCAAUCGUGCGCACCGGAGUUCAAGAACCCGCCGGCGCACGUGGACCGGGUAAGCCCCUGCACCAUUUUCCAAUUCCUUGCGCGUAUGGCCUCUGUGUCACCCCGUGAAGCUCCUCGUGCACCCUAAUUGAUCUAUGCCGCCGUGGUUUGGCCGGAGCAGGAGCCGCCGACGACCCCCGCCGCCUGUGCUCGUGGCCAGGGUAGCUCCGACCACCUCCGACACCGACCCGCACAUCGGCGUGACCGUUGCGACCUCCUGGACGUCACUGACCACCCCGCCGGAGCUCUACUGCCGCCGGUAAGCCCCACCGCCGUAAAAUGUACCGCGGGCACUGUUUAAGCCGGUCAGGGAGCGCGGGUUAGAUUUUAGUUAAGUCCAGGGGGCUUGGCGCAAUGUCAGUGACUCAAGCCAAUAGUGGACCAAGGGCUGUUCUGUGAGAAAAGAAAAGGAAAAACCCCAGGGGCCUCGGCGUAAACACGUUUUCUUUUUCUAUUUUCGAAUUUCUUUUCUUUUGUUAAAACAGAUAGCUAAGUAAAUGCAUAACUUGCAGAAUAAUCAUCCAAAAAUGUUCAAACCAAUUUUGCUAGAUUCAGAAAUUUAUGAGCUAUCAGAGAAAAAUAAUAGAACCCAUAGCUUCUGUAUUUCUUUCUGAAGUUUAGAAUUAAAUAAGGAAACCACUCAAAACCCAAUAUUAGGAGGAAAAUAGGAAUAUUGUUUGACCAGGGUUAGAAAAAUUUGGAGAAACUUCUAUCUACCUACUAGACCAAGUAAAAAUGGUAAACCUCUCUAUCCACUCCAUUUAAGUUAGUUUUACCCUUUAUUCUAUAAUAUGCUUAAGAAUAAGGAAAAUAGAAAAUGCAACUUAAUUAAUGAACCAGAGAGUACUUCUAUUUUUGUUAGGUUACUUAUUCAAUAUAGUUCACUGGAAAAAUAUAUCAUACCUUGGUUUAGUACAAAUUAAGUAGGAUAUCUUUUAUUUUAUUAAAACAAGGAUAACUUAGAAAAACCCUACAAAAAUGACCCCAAGGUAAAAACACCCCCACCCUUGGGAUGACUAUUGUUUUAUUAGAGAGAACUUAGGAAAAAUAUGAAAUCUGCUGUUUGACAUUUUUCAAAUAAUAAUGUAGUAGAAAGUGCCUUUUUGACAUUAAACUUAAGAAAAGCAUAACUAAAUAACCACCCCUUAGUUUUCUGUAAUUUUUAGCACAGAAACCUAUUAUUACCAUAGGAUGCCAACAAAAAUACCUUUAGGGCAGAACCCACCCCUAACUAAGAGGUGUAGUGUGAAGUGGCCCAUUUUGCCUAACUUUUGUUAUUUUUGUUUAAAGCCUAACUUUUAUACUUUAAGCCUCAAAUUCUUAAAACAAGCUAGAAUAGCCAGUGAUAACCCACUGGAAUUUUUACAGAAUUUUUGGAAAAUUUUAAAACCCUGUUGUAGUUCAAACCUACCCCAGAAACCCUAAAUGGAAAUUAAGGAAAGGAAAAUGAAUAAUGGAAAUUUAUGUCAUCUUAAGACCUUUGUAAAUUGUCCACUGAAAUCUAUAAAGACAACACCAAUCCACUAUAAUAAUCUAAAAGAAAACCUAAUCUUAAAAGGUAAUAAGUCUAUAUCUAUGUAUACCACUGGAAGCCCAGCGUGACUAAGAAAACCCUAAGUUACUUCUUAACUUAGUUUCUUUAGCUUAUUGUUCUUAAAUCCUGCAUAAUCAUGACAUACAUGUUCAUUGCAUUUCGAUAGACUGUAAUCUUGCUGACGGAGAGUACAUCCUCGUGCCGGAGCAAGGAGCUGCUCAGGAGGUAGCCCUAGAUCCAGCACCCGAGCCUGCACCAGAGGACCUGCCUGCCACAGCUUUGGAAGGCAAGCCCUGGUUUUAUGCAUAACCUAUUAUUAUACCAUUUUACUUCACUUAAUGCUUGUAGGAUUGAUUGUGCAAUUAAGUGUAGGAAUUGUUUGAAACCCUAGUUGCAUGAUCUUAGGAAUCCCAUUGAGAUGAAUACUAGUAUGAUAGGUCGAGUAGUUGCUUUAUUUAAUUAGGAUCUCGGUAGAAGACGAGUGAUUUUUCUAGCACUCGCGCGAGAUCAGGGAUUUGACUGUACCCACUUUCACAUUAUCAUGGUACUGGUUGAUGGACAACAAUCCAUGGGGAUUGGUUGUCUACGAGAUGAAAUUUGAAUAAGGAUUAAGGUGUGGUACCGUGUGUCAAGCGUUUGAACGUACUAAACACAUACCGAGAAAUAUGGUAAAUCGGUAAGCCUAGUACCUGAUUGAACCUGGCAGUAGACUUUGCCCCUCACACGACCUGAGACGAGGUCUCCCAUUCCGGUUAUGGUGGGUACAAGUGCGGUCACUGCAUGACGGCCAGUCGGGGUCAGUGAGGCAUUGUACGCCAAGGCGGUGAGCCCUGUUCUGCUGACGGGGAAUCGAUGGGGACGGUUGAUAUGUGUGGGGACGGAGUGCCCCUGCAUGUCGUGUGUUUAGGUUUACCUUGCAAGGAUAAAAACUCGAUUCGAAUCGUCUGCUUCUCGCAGUUAAUGAGACUGCUUGAUCCAUGCUGCUACAUUGAGUAAUAAGUGGAAGUAUGAUGAGUUGAGAUAAGAUGUUGAUUGUUAAUAAUGCUUGCUACCAUGUAUGAGUAGAUAGUUCACUUUUAGCCUUAAGAGAGUCACACUUAACUUUGACUAAGUUAAAAUCUUAAUUUAGAAACUCAGCUAGUGCUUUUGGCAACCAAACCCCACAGCCAAACAGCUGCAUGUCUAGAGGUAGAGGAGUAGACUCCUCACACCGGGUAAGUCUAGCUGAGUAUUAGUAUACUCAGCCUUGCUUGUGGCAUAAUUUUUACAGGUUCUCUGGAGGAGAUGGUUGCUGGGAAAACUUGGCCGUCCACCUUGCCACCGGGUUGGACUGUUGAGUGGGACCCUGCCUCGGCCGAGGAGGAGCAUGAGGAGUGAUGGGACAGGCUUCCCCAUCUCUCUGUUUGAUUACCGUUAGUUUUAUUCCGCUGCACUUCGAACAAUGAUGGUUACUUUUGCAAAAACUCCGAUGAUGAUGAUGGUGAUGUAAUAAUUUAACAUUGUGACAUGAAUGGUUUUAUGCUUCAUUGUAUUUGCUCUGUGACUCACCUUCGAGUGAGAUUGUGGUACUUGAUCCUGUCAGUGGCCGUGUCGGACUAGAUCCGAGGGAUUGACGGGUUAUUCCCAUUUAAGUGUGGUCUAGCCUCUGAGGCGGGAUUUGGGCACUUAAGUUGGAAUAAUUCGGGCAGUUCCGCCACACAAGUCUUGUCUUAAGUCGAUCUUUUGGUGUGCUUUUUCCUGUUACCUCUUAUACCUUUGUAAUCACUAGAUCUUUCCAUGAUGCUUAUCUUAUGCCUACCUUUUGAAUCAUCAUCUUUCCCAUCUCGAUUUGAGAAUGGUGUUUUAUCUACCCUCACCUUGGUUGUAUUCUCUCUCUGUCGGUUACAAUCCUUGCUUUAGCCCCAUCCUUUAUUAUGCUCAUGCCCCUAUCCUGCAUGUCUUAUUAUUCCCCUUGCCUUUCGAUGGCCUUAGAGUAGUUUCCCCUUUGUAAGGAAAGACCACCAUCUAGUUAACAUUAACGUGUAGCAACGAGAUGUUUGUUGUUGUAUGCUUGUGCUGUUUGUCUUUGUGUUAUGACUGAUUUGCUUCUUUGUGAUGAGUGUUGGUGUGUUGUGGCCCCUAGGUCCGCAAUGACAUCCGUUUACUAGCUGAGUGCCAUAGAGUUAGGUAGCUGGGUGCUCUCCCUUUUCUCUUUAAUCCAUCUAUGCUUACCUUUGCUAUCUAUACCCUUCCCUCUUGCACCUAUCCGGCUGGCAUCCUGCAACCUCUCUUAAUCAGUCAAUAUCAUAGUCGGCAGCAUCUUCACCAAGUGUGUAUCAAUGCUUCUAGUAAGGGGGUUAGCUGCUAACCCCAAUGAAGACAAUGCGAUCAACAUCAACCAACAAGAUCAAAGAGGUGUAGUGAAAGCGUGUGUGGGUCCUAACCCACAGGUCCAAGGGAUCCUUAAGAAUUAUAUCAAUUGGUUGCGAGCAUCUGAAGGUCAAAGCAACCAGUCCACAAGUUAAGCUUUCAGAGUCAAAUUCAACUCAAGAAAGCCGUGAAAAACCUAUGAACCAACCUUGUUUUCUUGCUAGCGUCUUCCUGAAUCUCGGGGGGGGGGGCGAGAUUCCUGUUAAGUGGGUUAGAUUUGUAACACCAUGAAUUUGGGGGUAUAAAAUUUCUUUUCUAAUAUUCACCAAAUUCAGGUGUUACCCUCUCUUUUCCUUGUUUUUCUUUUUCUAAAUAGUGAAGAGUUAUUUUGUUUUAUAUCUAUGCAAAAUCCUAGAAAAAUAAAAUCUUAGAGGAACUUUGAUUGUUGCAUUCAUGCCGAUACAUAGUGUUUAUGAGUGCAAAAUGUUAUCAUUACAGAUGAAAAUAUAUCGAGGAUGUUCCCAAGAGUUUUUGGAAUCUUCGGAAGGUUUCUUCGGGUAUGAAAUAUGAAUUUCAGUUUUUCUAAUAUUAAUUAAAUACCUAAAAUGUGGUAGUUGUGAAAACUAUAAAAUUUUUGGAACUCGAUAAUAUAUAUAUAUAUAUAUAUAUAUAUUUCUUCCUCUCGUCGAACCUAUUCCAGAUCUCGUGCCCCUUUUCGCGAGAUUACUGAACCGCGUCUUCUCGCGAACAACAUGCUGCUCGCGUCGGCGAUCCUCCUCUAUCCUCGUCUUUCCCUUCGGCGUCCACCUCGUCAUCUUGGGCCCACGGGCCGGCUCUGAUCGUCUUCGUCUAAUUUUAUCUAACCCUGUCUACCACCCAUCUAACUCUGUCUAACCCUAUCUCGUGCAACUUGCCGCGCAGCUGUCUCUCUCGCUCGGCCAAGACAAGAGCCGUCGUGAAAUUGACAACCACCUCUCGUGCCCUCUCCUUUCUAUACAUACCCUCUCCUUUCUAUACAAUCGUACACCCUGCCAUGAACCCCUUCCCUCUUCCUUCUCACACAUGAGCAGCCCACGCGUUUUCCUCUCUAUGCAUUGUGCCUUCGUGGUCUUAGGGUCCACCUCGUCGUCUUCCUCGCGUCGUCGGAGGAGCAGCCCCAUCGUCUUCCUCGCGUCGUCUUCCUCUUCUUUGAUUGCCUGCUCGGCUGGUCUUCAUGUGUAGGUGACAAAUCCUCUCCUUCUCCCUCGUCUUCGCAUCCUUCUUCCUCGUCACUACGCAAACAUCAUGGCGGCCAAGGAGCUCACACCAAACUCCCUACUCACCUAGCGACGCAGCUGGCCUAGCCCCUCACCGGUGCGGCUUGGCGUGGCCCACACAGCUAGCCCGCCUCGCCCCCAGCCGAGCUCGUGCAGCCACCCUGUGUGACCCCUGGCUAGGCCGAUGUCUAGCCGAGCCUUCCCUGCCACGACACACCCUUGUAUGGUGCUGCUGCGCACCGCUCAGCCCCGACUCCGGCGAGCAGACACCACCGCCGUCAGCCCCACCCACCAUAGUGCAUGCCACGUCGGCAUCGCGCCCGCUCCGGUAGGCCAAUCCGUUUUCCUACUAUUGCCGUUCGUGCAGUAUGGAAUAGGAAAAAAAGGAAACCACCCCAUGUGGCCCCACCUGCAUGCUCAUUCGUUGCCUAGCGCCGUGGCGCGAUCUUCUCACUGCACACAUGAUCGCAGCACGGAAAGGAGAACCAUCGUAGACCCCUGCAUGUUCCUUCCUAUACGAUAUCAUCAUUGCACGUAAUGUGUGUGGGAAAGAAAACUGACAGCCACGUAUUAAUGCCUGGUUGGCCAUGUGCAACGCCGUUCCGUCUAUGGCCACACUAGAUCCGGUCGGUUUUUCUGUGUCUUCAAACCCGUGGCCAUCCGUGUGGUAAGUUUUAACCAAUGAAAAUACGCAGCAUCACAUUAAAUGCGCAAAAUAUUAAUUUUUUCAAUAUAUUUUACGUCGCAAACAUGAUUUGACUAGUUUCAGUCGCGUUAACUUUGUAACCUCGUCGUGUACGAGUUAGUAGCAUUGUUUUGUCGUAAACAUGUUUUAACUAAUUAAUUAAUUAUUUGUUAGUCUGAUUAAAACUAAUUUGUAAUUAAAUAUUAGCAUGAUUAAUGUCAGCGUAAAUGUUUUCGAACUAAUACUUGUUUAGUAUAAUCUCGUUAUCUGUUAGCUAGUAUCAAGCGUCGUCACACUAUCUGCGCACAUCGUCACGCUGCUCACGCGUGAUGUGCUCGUUGACGUGCAGAUUUGCGCGUCGUUCACGCUGGUCGCGCACACUGUUUCGUGCGUCGUCCGCGUGCUAUGUCGCACGUGGCCGCGCGUCGUUCACACGCUGUCGUGUUGUUUCGCUUUUCGUGAUUUCACCUCGCUUAGAAUCUCUCUUUUUAAUUAAAUUACUUAUUUAAUGAUAGUUGUUCGUGUAGCAGAUUAAUCAAACUAAAUAGUAGAUAUAAUUUAUAUUUGAUAAAGUCGAAUUAAAUGUUAUAGUUAAUACCUGUUUGGCAUAAAUGCGAUAACUUCUUGACCAUAGCUCCGAUUUCUGCUUUUCUUUUCCUCGCGCCGGCAUAGAAGCGAGCUUUAUUUUUUUAUUGCAUGCUUUAUAUUAUUGUAUCUUGUAUGAUGUAAUGUUCUUAUGCAAGUAUAUGUUUUCUUGUGCUUGUUUGUCUUCGUUGUGCGUCGCUAAUAGAUUGCGAUCUGUUCCUGAGCUUCGAGGAAUCGACAAUCAAGAUUUGGUGAACCUCUGGUCCUAAGAUGAAGUUCUUUGAGUCCUACAAAGUCGAAGACCCUGAGCAUCGGUUUGGUGAAGGCAAGUGUCCUCUGACCUAUUGUGUCUCAUUUACUUUAUAAUUCAUCAACCAGCAUUGUCACACCCGGAUUUCGGGGCACCAAGACCCGGGCGCGAACAUAAUCACCAGGUGUGCUGGGACCAAGUCUCACACAUAUGAUGAAUCAUGGCACAGGAUCAAAUGUCACAUCUUUACUAUAUAACAGGAGUUCUAUACAAAAUAAAUAAUUACAUUAUAAGGAGACAACGGACCAGCAAACCAAAGUUGACUGGGAGACGACGGCCUAGACCACUCACGAACUCGUCACAGCAUCCUCCAUGCGCCUCAUCCUGUGGUACCUGUUCUUGACCUGUGGGGGGGUGUGAGACAGCAAGAGUGAGCUCACAUACGUUCAUCGCUCAACAAGUUGUGGGGAAUAAUGUGCAUGAACUCGCCAAAGGUGGGAGCUCAUGUGAAGUGUAAGGCUUACCAAAGAGGAUGGUUAGAGCUGAGCAUUGCUUUUAAAGUUGGUCAAAAUUUUAUUAGCAAUUACUAAGUAUAAGUAAAUACCAACCCAAUUAAGUAGUAGAACCAAAAGUAACAACAUCACCUGCGAUGCAAUGCGUAUGACAAAUUGAAUUUAGUUCCAUAAAUUAAUCAUGUGAGGGUCCGAGCUGCUCAUGACCGUGAGCACGGCUAGUAUACCAGUUUUACACUCUGCAGAGGUUGCGCAUCUUUACCCACAAGUCAUGUUACCCAUCUGCCAAGGGAUCGCGACUUCCCAUACACCUCUACCGAGGAGGCGAGGCAGGGUAACACUACGAGGCCUUUACAAAGUUCCACUAGCUUCAGAAAACCCGCUACAGUUUAUAGGAAGCUCCAAUGCAGGAAUCCCUUGCAGGACCGCCAUCGCAGCAAAAUCCUCCCGAGGGCCUCCCUACACUGACCACUCCCCUACUGCCCUUGCCCCUUUCGGGUAAGGUAGUCCUCCACUAGCUUUCCUAAUUAAUCAGCCAAGGGCGUCCCAUUAUACCCCUGUGGUAGCACUGUUUUCCCGGGUGGUCGCUCCAUGUUCCAAUUAACAUAAUGAUCUUAUCAUGAACGAUAAAUAACAACGGAUAACAAAAGUAUAAUCAUGAGUAAUGUAUCUUCAUACCCAAAACCACAUAAAGCACUAGCAAGUACUACCCAAAAAGUUCAGUGGUAACAAGGUAUAAAGAUAAUCAAACUAGGGUAACCUAUUGGGUCCCAUCAAAAUUAACCUAUGCAGAUCAUUAUGAUUAAUCAGAACAUGGGUGGGUAAAAAAAAGUGAUCAAGGGCACAACUUGCCUGGGACUUGAGAUUCCAGGUACCAGGAUGAUCCACAGGUGACUCGUAACCUCGCGCUAGUCGUAGCAAUACAAACAAGCAUGGUAUAGGCAAAAAUUAACAUCACACCAAACAUAAGAAUAAACUACGCAAUAAUAAUCUACGCGAUGUUACGAGAUCGUAGAAACAAGAACCACUAAAUUCGGAGUUGCGGUUACCAAGAUAUGAAUUUCGGAAAUUAUUUAGUGCUUAGAAUAGAUUAAUCCAAAUGAAUAAUUUAAAUUCAAGUUUCAUGGCUAAACAAUGUUACUAGUUGGUAGACAAUAUUAAUACAAAAUUAUUGCAACUGGAAUGACUCAAUUUGGAGCUAAAAUGAAUUAUAUAUGAAUUUCUCAAGUUUCUAGAAUUGUUUUUGUACUAAAAACUAAUUUCUAUAAUUAUUUCUCUAUUUUUAAUCCCUUCUGGACUGGGCCUCGAAUUCCAGAAAAAUCAGGGGCUAGCGCGUAAGUUUUCCCGAGACUCAGAACACAGUGAACGUGGACGGCGGGUUUAUUAUGUGAAAACAGAGGGUCUCUUUAUGAAGUUUGCCACGCGAAGGGGUAUCCGGAAAUCCAGACCGUCCGAUCACUGCCCAUCGGCCCAGAUUAUGUCUACGCAGCAAAUAACGUAUAACUAUUUUCGACCACCAGAUCUAACAUCCACGGUUCUCAUUCUCUUACCCCUAGAUCUAAUCCUAGACGUCUGGAACCGAUCCAACGGUCACGAUGCCAUUAGCCGAACAGGUACGCCUGACCCGAUCCGAGACGUCCGCGGUUUGAUCAACAGCGCAGCGCCCAGCGACCUCCCCGCCCUAACCAGUACCGUCCACUUCCAGAUCGACGGACGCGCCCGCGUCUUCUACCUCACGGUUCUCUCUCUCUUCGAUUUCUUUUCUCAGCUAUACCGUCGCAACCGAGCGCCACAGACUCUGAACAAAAUGGACCUGGCCACCCCGCGCGGCCGCUUGCCGGCGAGCGCGCACGCCGAGGAUCCCCGCACGGCCCUCGCCACUGGCUCCCCACUACCGACCGCCAUCGCUAACGCUCUCAGAUCAACACCGAAGAAUGGUAACGCCGCGCCCCGCCACGACGAGCUAGCAAUCGGCUUCAAUAGUGGUAUGCACGCUACGCUAAUGAUGAUACGCCGAGCAGGUGCGAGCGAGGGGAAACGCUUACCGAUGACCACUCGAACAACGCCUUCGCGAUUUCACCCACCGCCGAGCGCAGUCGCAGAAGAAUCCCGACGGCAGCGGUGACCGGUCCGAGCUCCACUCUGGGUACCCGGCUCCUGCGGCGACCACCCGACCGCCUAGAGCAACGAACGGAGGUGAGGCGACGGCGGCGACCCCAACUCCCACGGCGAAUCCCGAGCUCCCCUCCCUCCUAGCCGGUAAGUUUGGCGCGGCGGCGGCGCUGAAACAGGGGAGACGGAGCCAGCACAGCGACUCUUUAUAGGCGUGGCCAGGUCGGGAUGAGGGUGGGUGCAACGGACCCAGCAAACCCGGCCGACGGGCGAGGAGGUGGUUGAGGUGUGCUGUUAGCGCGCGGCGGGAUCUACGGCAAGAGCUCCGGAGAGAAGAACGCACGAUAUCUGACAAGGCGGGCCCGCGUUCCAGAUAGCAGAAGGGAGAAGCGAGCGCACGCGGUUCCGUUUCCAGCUCGCAACCGAGAAGGACGGAAGACCUGACAAGGGUGGCCCACACGGGAGUGUCUAGUGCAAGGGAUAGGCUGCUUCGUGGGUCCCACGCGUCGAUGGCGUGAGCGAGUGCACGGCUGACCGAAGUGGUCCACCUGUCGGCACAUGCGAAGGAGAGAAGGCUGGGCUUGCGCGGAAGGAAUUCUCUUAUGGGUCGAAAAGCGCAGAUCUGGCCCAUGCGGCGAUUUUACCCUUUUUCUUUUUUCUUUAUUCUUUUCUCUUUUCUUUUUCAAAUUUAGGUUUUCAUUUCUACUUUUAGAUUUCAAAUUCAAAUUUGAAUUUCAGUUAUGGAUUUGUACUUAUAUCAAAAUGUGCCAAUUUACAUUUGGAGAUGAAGAGAAUGUAUUUAUGUAUAUAUUUAUUCCCUAUGUUUUAUGUGGUAUUUCUUUUCUUUUUAUUUUCAAAACCCUAUUUUCAAAUUUAGGGUUUGAUUCAACUUCUAGUAUUUAUUAUCUUAUUACCAUUAACAUUAUUAUUUUAUUUAAUGCACAAACAUAUAAACUCCAACAUGAUGCAUUUUUUUAUCAUUUGUUUGAAUUAAACUCCAAAUUUUGUGUAUGCUCUUUUUUUAUGAUGCAAAUGAGGCACAUCAAAUAAGGAAAACACUAUAUAUUCCUUGUACACAAUUUUGAGUAUUACAAAUCCUACCCCCCUUAAAAAUAAUCUCGUCCUCGAGAUUUGUAAGAAAAGGGAUGCAAAAGAAUUGGUUUGUAAUUCCGCUUUUAGUCUAUAGUUGGUUCAAAAAUCCAGAGUCUCAUUUUUUUAUAGUCAAUAGGGGUUGAUUAGGAGAGCCUAGGUAUCUAGUUACCUAUUAUAUAGGGUAUAAGCUGGACAAGUUGAGGUAAGAAAGAUUAUGACAAGGAAAAGACUUCACCAGCAAUGUUUAAGUCUUGAUUCAUCUCGAGAUUCACUUUGACUGUUUUAUCCUUCCUUGUCGAGGUCGAUCUUCUCUUCUCUGGUCUUGGUCUCAUUGAUUCGAGGUUAGUGUAUAUCAUCGGGGUUGGGGAAUAUGGUUAAGAUAGAUAUGGAUGAGAUAGACUACAUGAUGUAGGUCAAAAUCUUGUUUGAUGUUAGGUGGGGAUACACAAAUUGGAUAUAACUAGAUUAGACUAGUUAAGAUCUACUUAUUUUAGGAUAGAUCAUAGUUAUUACACCUAGUACGAGAUAAGCAAGGUAGUUAGGAUAUGACAAGAUAAGAUAGGAUAGAAUCUUUUAAGAUGAGAUGAAUCUAUUAAGAUAAGAGAAAAUCUUUUAAGAUAAGAUAUAUUUUAAUUAGGAUAAGUUAGGAUCUUUUCACAUAAGAUGGAUCUAUGAGUGUAGGAUAAAAUCUUUUAAGAUGAGAUGAAUAUUGUUAGGCUAGAUACUUUAAUGAGGGAUAACCUAGUUUACCUAGUUAUUUUUAUAAGCAUUUUUUUCGAUAUGUAUAUGCAUAUGUGAUUGUGGACAUUCCUCCACAACUCAUCACACUCAAUCAAAGAUCCAAAUCAGGCAAGUAUCCUAAGAACAAACAUUCAAGGGCACAAAUAAUUAUAAAAAAAUAGUUUUGUUUUUGUUCCUAAGAUGAGGUCUCCUAUUCCUAAAAGUCACUUUAGGCACAGGAUUUCAAAGUGUGAAAUCCACAUUUGUCUUUAGAAUGAAAAGGUAAGAAUAAUCAGAGUAAAGCGAAAAUAGAUGAGAAAAGAUUAAGAAAAGUUUAGAAAAGAAUUAGAGUAGCAAGGGUAAGUAAGUAUUGGUUGUCCAGUUCUAUCUAGGUUUCGUCCUACAGUCAACAUUCCUCUGAUACCACUUCUGUCACACCCGGAUUUCGGGGCACCAAGACCCGGGCGCGAACAUAAUCACCAGGUGUGCUGGGACCAAGUCUCACACAUAUGAUGAAUCAUGGCACAGGAUCAAAUGUCACAUCUUUACUAUAUAACAGGAGUUCUAUACAAAAUAAAUAAUUACAUUAUAAGGAGACAACGGUCCAGCAAACCAAAGUUGACUGGGAGACGACGGCCUAGACCACUCACGAACUCGUCACAACAUCCUCCAUGCGCCUCAUCCUGUGGUACCUGUUCUUGACCUGUGGGGGGUGUGAGACAGCAAGAGUGAGCUCACAUACAUUCAUCGCUCAACAAGUUGUGGGGAAUAAUGUGCAUGAACUCGCCAAAGGUGGGAGCUCAUGUGAAGUGUAAGGCUUACCAAAGAGGAUGGUUAGAGCUGAGCAUUGCUUUUAAAGUUGGUCAAAAUUUUAUUAGCAAUUACUAAGUAUAAGUAAAUACCAACCCAAUUAAGUAGUAGAACCAAAAGUAACAACAUCACCUGCGAUGCAAUGCAUAUGACAAAUUGAAUUUAGUUCCAUAAAUUAAUCAUGUGAGGGUCCGAGCUGCUCAUGACCGUGAGCACGGCUAGUAUACCAGUUUUACACUCUGCAGAGGUUGCGCAUCUUUACCCACAAGUCAUGUUACCCAUCUGCCAAGGGAUCGCGACUUCCCAUACACCUCUACCGAGGAGGCGAGGCAGGGUAACACUACGAGGCCUUUACAAAGUUCCACUAGCUUCAGAAAAACCCGCUACAGUUUAUAGGAAGCUCCAAUGCAGGAAUCCCUUGCAGGACCGCCAUCGCAGCAAAAUCCUCCCGAGGGCCUCCCUACACUGACCACUCCCCUACUGCCCUUGCCCCUUUCGGGUAAGGUAGUCCUCCACUAGCUUUCCUAAUUAAUCAGCCAAGGGCGUCCCAUUAUACCCCUGUGGUAGCACUGUUUUCCCGGGUGGUCGCUCCAUGUUCCAAUUAACAUAAUGAUCUUAUCAUGAACGAUAAAUAACAACGGAUAACAAAAGUAUAAUCAUGAGUAAUGUAUCUUCAUACCCAAAACCACAUAAAGCACUAGCAAGUACUACCCAAAAAGUUCAGUGGUAACAAGGUAUAAAGAUAAUCAAACUAGGGUAACCUAUUGGGUCCCAUCAAAAUUAACCUAUGCAGAUCAUUAUGAUUAAUCAGAACAUGGGUGGGUAAAAAGAAGUGAUCAAGGGCACAACUUGCCUGGGACUUGAGAUUCCAGGUACCAGGAUGAUCCACAGGUGACUCGUAACCUCGCGCUAGUCGUAGCAAUACAAACAAGCAUGGUAUAGGCAAAAAUUAACAUCACACCAAACAUAAGAAUAAACUACGCAAUAAUAAUCUACGCGAUGUUACGAGAUCGUAGAAACAAGAACCACUAAAUUUGGAGUUGCGGUUACCAAGAUAUGAAUUUCGGAAAUUAUUUAGUGCUUAGAAUAGAUUAAUCCAAAUGAAUAAUUUAAAUUCAAGUUUCAUGGCAAUAUUAAUACAAAAUUAUUGCAACUGGAAUGACUCAAUUUGGAGCUAAAAUGAAUUAUAUAUGAAUUUCUCAAGUUUCUAGAAUUGUUUUUGUACUAAAAACUAAUUUCUAUAAUUAUUUCUCUAUUUUUAAUCCCUUCUGGACUGGGCCUCGAAUUCCAAAAAAAAUCAGGGGCUAGCGCGUAAGUUUUCCCGAGACUCAGAACACAGUGAACGUGGACGGUGGGUUUAUUAUGUGAAAACAGAGGGUCUCUUUAUGAAGUUUGCCACACGAAGGGGUAUCCGGAAAUCCAGACCGUCCGAUCACUGCCCAUUGGCCCAGAUUAUGUCUACGCAGCAAAUAACGUAUAACUAUUUUCGACCGCCAGAUCUAACAUCCACGGUUCUCAUUCGCUUACCCCUAGAUCUAAUCCUAGACGUCUAGAACCGAUCCAACGGUCACGAUGCCAUUAGCCGAACAGGUACGCCUGACCCGAUCUGAGACGUCCGCGGUUUGAUCAACAGCGCAGCGCCCAGCGACCUCCCCGCCCUAACCAGUACCGUCCACUUCCAGAUCGACGGACGCGCCCGCGUCUUCUACCUCACGGUUCUCUCUCUCUUCGAUUUCUUUUCUCAGCUAUACCGCCGCAACCGAGCGCCACAGACUCUGAACAAAAUGGACCUGGCCACCCCGCGCGGCCGCUUGUCGGCGAGCGCGCACGCCGAGGAUCCCCGCACGGCCCUCGCCACUGGCUCCCCACUACCGACCGCCAUCACUAACGCUCUCAGAUCAACACCGAAGAAUGGUAACGCCGCGCCCCGCCACGACGAGCUAGCAAUCAGCUUCAACAGUGGUAUGCACGCUACGCUAAUGAUGAUACGCCGAGCAGGUGCGAGCGAGGGGAAACGCUUACCGAUGACCACUCGAACAACGCCUUCGCGAUUUCACCCACCGCCGAGCGCAGUCGCAGAAGAAUCCCAACUGCAGCGGUGACCGGUCCGAGCUCCACUCUGGGUACCCGGCUCCUGCGGUGACCACCCGACCGCCCAGAGCAACGAACGGAGGUGAGGCGACGGCGGCGACCCCAACUCCCACGACGAAUCCCGAGCUCCCCUCUCUCCUAGCCGGUAAGUUUGGCGCGGUGGCGGCGCUGAAACAGGGGAGACGGAGCCAGCACAGCGACUCUUUAUAGGCGUGGCCAGGUCGGGAUGAGGGUGGGCGCAACGGACCCAGCAAACCCGGCCGACGGGCGCGGAGGUGGUUGAGGUGUGCUAUUAGCGCGCGGCGGGAUCUACGGCAAGAGCUCCGGAGAGAAGAACACACGAUAUCUGACAAGGCGGGCCCGCGUUCCAGAUAGCAGAAGGGAGAAGCGAGCGCACGCGGUUCCGUUUCCAGCUCGCAACCGAGAAGGACGGAAGACCUGACAAGGGUGGCCCACACGGGAGUGUCUAGUGCAAGGGAUAGGCUGCUUCGUGGGUCCCACGCGUCGAUGGCGUGAGCGAGCGCACGGCUGACCGAAGUGGUCCACCUGUCGGCACAUGCGAAGGAGAGAAGGCUGGGCUUGCGCGGAAGGAAUUCUCUUAUGGGUCGAAAAGCGCAGAUCUGGCCCAUGCGGCGAUUUUACCCUUUUUCUUUUUUCUUUAUUCUUUUCUCUUUUCUUUUUCAAAUUUAGGUUUUCAUUUCUAUUUUUAGAUUUCAAAUUCAAAUUUGAAUUUCAGUUAUGGAUUUGUACUUAUAUCAAAAUGUGCCAAUUUACAUUUGGAGAUGAAGAGAAUGUAUUUAUGUAUAUAUUUAUUCCCUAUGUUUUAUGUGGUAUUUCUUUUCUUUUUAUUUUCAAAACCCUAUUUUCAAAUUUAGGGUUUGAUUCAACUUCUAGUAUUUAUUAUCUUAUUACCAUUAACAUUAUUAUUUUAUUUAAUGCACAAACAUAUAAACUCCAACAUGAUGCAUUUUUUUAUCAUUUGUUUGAAUUAAACUCCAAAUUUUGUGUAUGCUCUUUUUUUAUGAUGCAAAUGAGGCACAUCAAAUAAGGAAAACACUAUAUAUUCCUUGUACACAAUUUUGAGUAUUACACGCAUACCAUGAUCAACCUAAGGAUUGACUAGUAUUCUGUUUUCAUGUCCUUGUUUACCCUUUGGGUAUUGAUUAUUAUGAUUAGCUCUAUGCUAGCGCUUUACUUUUAAUCAAUGAACAUGAUGAGAUACAAUGAUGAUACUAUGAUUUUUUUCUGGAUAUGAUGAUAUACUUGUGGCAUUUUAGGGGACUCGAGCGGUUUCUCGAGCGCCUCUCCAUAAGGACUUGUUUGUUGGAUGACCACCCGGGAAAAUAGUGCAACCAUGAGGGUGGUAUGGACGCCCUUAGCUAAUUAAUUAGAGGAACUGAGGUGUAGUUCACUUCGCCGUCGUGCCGUCAAUGGGCUAGGUGUAUGCGGCUCGCUCUGCCGAGGGUGGAUUGCCCCUUGGGGAGGAGUGUAGUACAUUUAGGAAACCUAACGGGCGGCUACACCCUCAGGGAAUCUUUGUAAGGGCUUCGUAGUGAAUCCUUGGCCAUUCACCUCGAGAGUGAAUAAGGGUCUUGCAAGCCCGGGCUAGAGAAGGAAUCACGACUCGUGGGUAAAGUGCGCAACCUCUGCAGAGUGUUAUGAAACUAAUAUAUCAGGCGUGCUCGCGGUUAUGAGCGGCCUUGGGAGCUCCAUUGAUUAGAGACACAUUGAAUCAGGACUACUUUGUUUAUAGAUGAUGAUGAGGAUAAUGCUGGUUUCUAUUGUGAUUAUGAUUAUGGUUUCUGGUAUUCCUUCCGUUUGGAAAGAGUACUUUUGGGUUAACAACUUGGGUUAAUGUUAAAACCUGGCUAUCUACUAGUAAUAAUUACCUGAUCAACUAAAAGCAACUGCUUGACCUUAACCCCACAUAAAGCUAGUCCACUACAGCCAAACGGGACAUUUGUUGAGUACGUUGAUGUGUACUCACCCUUGCUUUCACAAAACACCAGGUUGCCUUUGGUGCAAUCUAUGCUCAGGUAAAGAAGGUGUCGAGGUGGAUCUCCAGGAGUUCCAGGACUUCGACGAGUUUGAGGAUUAGGCUAGCGACAUCCCCCAGUCAGCUGCCUGUGGUGGGUUAAUUUACGUUGGCUACGUUUCAAUUCUGUGUACUUUGAUUUAUAUUAUGUAAAUGACUCUAGUCUUUAAUAUUAUUACUUACUCUUUAUUGUUAUUCGAAGCAUUGUGCUAUGAUGAGUCAUUUAUGUAAUCGCUAUGUACGUGAGUUCUGAUCCUAGCACGUACAUGGUUCGCAUUCGGUUUACCUUCUAAAACCUGGGGUGACAGGUGGCAUAGCAGGAGUGGAGGGCAGCGACGGUUGCACAGCUCUGCGUGCAGUGGCUUGCAUUGUUUGCUCCUCGUUGGCGAUGCGUGUGCGACCAUGAGCUCUCGACACAGGUAGGUAGUAGUAGAGCCAGAAUUGUAACCUUGGGUUUUCCCACACCUCAAAUAGAUAUAGAUAUAGGGAUAUAGAUAGAUAUAGCAAAUUCACCAAAUAAUAUAGGGGUAUAGAUAUAGAUAUAAUAAGGGGUAUAGAUAUAGAUAUAGAUAUAUAGAAGAUAUAGAUAGAUAGAUAGAUAGAUAUGAUAGAAUAGAUAACUUACAAUUUUGUCUAAAAGAAACUAAAUCACUGCUAAGUUUGGAGUAGCAUAUCUUUGGUGAAUACUUGCUAGUGAAUUGGUUUCCGCUAUAGUAUAUAUAUAUAAGUAUACACUCUUAUAGGAUUAUAGUAUAUAUAUAUAAGUAUACACUCUUCUAGGAUCAAUCGUGAGGAGUUCAUUAAAUUGUCUUGCGACAUGGAGUACAGAAAGAGGGUGGAUGCGCUAGUGUUUUUCUCGUUACUUCUCCUCGGAUACUUUGCUGCUCAUGCACAUGGGAAGGGUAAGUGAAAACUAUACAGACAUGUGUGUGCAUGCUUAGAUAGAUCUAGACAAUUUAGAAGAUGUUAUUAUAUGAUACCGUGUGUAUCAUGGCGAAUUGCUAAUGUAUCGCAAUCCCCUGUGUUAAAUUACUCAAAUAAUUUCGAAUGUAAUUAUUCUCGAGGCAUUUGUUGGUAAUAGAACUCUUAUCCUAUACCUUCUACUAGGUCAUGUCACAGAUGAUGUCAGUGUUUCUACUCCAGCUAAAGAAGGAAUUAUGCAAGGAAACGGAGCAUGGUGCGUUGUAGGGUUUCCUCCAUGCAAAGAUAACAAGUGCUACUGCUGCAUUGGGGGGCGAACUCAUGCUCGCUACUCUACGAUGGCUGAGUGUAGACAUGCCUGCUUCUAAACAAAAAUUAAGAUCGCUGUUAUUAUAUACAUUGUAAUGGUAGGUAAUGCUAUUAAUAAUAUAUGGGAAUUUUAGUUUUGGUAUUAUACUUUUUUCCAAUUCACAAAAUUUAGUCAAAAUCUAACCAAUUUUUU